This 56268-nucleotide long non-coding RNA is filed under the name Gossypium raimondii (Peruvian cotton). Its description in RNAcentral is "long non-coding RNA (GRAI_LNC006587)". Lineage: Eukaryota; Viridiplantae; Streptophyta; Magnoliopsida; Malvales; Malvaceae. The record is from RNAcentral.
AAAAAGAAAAAAGGUAAAAAAUUAUUGAAAUAUUAACAAACAAAAAUUUUAACCCGUGGCAUAUUUAACAUAACAUUCCACAUCAAACACAUGUUAUCAAAUAACAACAAUAAACAAUUAAAUGGUAUUUUUGCAAUAAUAUGAUAACAUUGUGACAUCCAUGUAAGUUUUUAAACUUAGGUGACAAAUUAAAAAUUAAUAUAUUGAAUAAGUUAAAUUUACUGUAAAUAAAAAUACAAUAUUUAAAAAACUAAUUAAAUAUUAAACGUAUAAAAUAACAAUCAACAAAUUUAAUUGCUUACAACUCAUUUUAUUAUCGUGCCUGUCCAUUUGCAAGAAAAAGAAAAAAUCCAAGAGAAAGAUACGUUAAUUUGUAUUAUAUUAUGAAAUUUAUAGGCCAUAUGGCAGUUCUGAUAAAUUAACACUUGGAGACUAAAGAGAAAAAUGGCAAAAUAAUAAUAUUAAUAAUAAUUAAGACGACAAAAUGGAGGAGGAAAGCCAAAAUUGUAAAUAAAUAACAACAAUUGCAACCUACCAAAACAUUUACUUCUACUUCAACGUAAGCAUGUAGACAAGCAAGGGUAAAAGGAACCCUCGAGUAGUCGAGUCCCACUUCCUUAAUCCUCAUCAUUGAAAGUAGUCUUCUUUCCUGCAUUAAGAUUAUAACACAAAAUAAUAUGAUUAAAGAAAAAAACCAUGAGCAAUCACCCAUUCCUUUUAUCUCCAAUUGAGAUGUUGAAUAAAAUAUCUGUGCCAGCAGCACCAAGAUUUGGCUUAUUAGGUGUUCCCCGUCCUCUACCAUCUCUACCACCACCAAAUUGACCACCCCCACGCCUACCACCACGGCCACCACCACCUCUUCCAUUGUCAGGUCCAUCACGGGAUUCACCUUUCGGUUUUGCCUCAUUCACGGUCAAGGAAAAUUUAUUAAGUUCUGACCCAUCAAGUCCUAGUGUUACGGGCUUAGAGUUUUCCCACGCGAUCCGUGCGGCCUUAGGCAGUUACUUUGCUCAAAAACGCCUAAGUCAGCUUAAUUCACCACAAUUAUGGAUUCAGCAGAAUUUCCUUUAAGGCAACCACGAAGAACAGUAGAAGAACGAAGUAAGAACGAACUUGAAAGAUGAACAAAAGCAACAGAAAAGUAAGAACGCUUGAGAGAAAAGUUUAAGUGAAUACUUUCAAAAUUCUAUUCACAACUGAACAAUUUACAAUGAGCAGAGAGUCCUCUAUUUAUAGCUGAGGCUCUCCAAAAUCAAUGGUCUAAAUCAAAAUACAUCAAUGCACUACACCAAAACAGGCUUUUAGCGGCGCUUUUAGCGGCGUUUGUACAAAAAAUGCCGCUAAAAAUCGAGCAUUAGCGGCGCUUCCCAAAAAACGCCGCUAAAGAUCGAGUAUUAGCGGCGUUUUUCUAAAAAACGCCACAAAAAACCUAAGCCCAACGACGUCGUUUUCAAACCUUGUGGGUCUUUAGCGGCAUUUUUCAAGAAGCGUCGCUAAUGCGUGGACCUUUAGCAGCGUUUUUCAAGAAGCGCCGCUAAUGCGCAGACCUUUAGCGGCGUUUUUUAAGAAGCGCCGCUAAUGCGCAGACCUUUAGCGGCGUUUUUCAGGAAGCGCCGCUAAUGCACUGACCUUUAGCGGCGUUUGUAAGGAAUCGCCGCUAAUGUGCAAACCUUUAGCGCGUUUUUUCAUGAAGCGCCGCUAAUGCGCAGACCUUUAGCGGCGUUUUUUGUAAAGCGCCGCAAAAAAAUAUUAUGUAUUUUUUUACUUUUUAAUUUGUUUGUUUAUAUUAAUUAAAAUUGAAUAUAUUUUUAAUUGAAUAUUUGUUAAAAAUGGAUAAAUUUGAAAUAAUGAGACAUUGAAAUAAUUUGAAUUAAAAAACAUAGCAAAAUAUUUGUUAAAAAUGAAAAAAAAUUAAAAUACUAUUAAUUAAAAAUAUUCUAAAUUUUUUUGGGUACAUGAUUGAUUGCUUUUUAAUUUAUAUAUUAAAUAAUUUCAUAUAUAAUUGUAAAGGAUACAAUAGUAAUAAUUUUAAAAUAUUUAUUUUGUAUAAUUAUCAUUAUAUAUAGUUUAAUAUAUACAUGGUUUAGGGUAUAUGAUUAAUUUAGUAAUUAAGGCCGGUUUAAGAGUCACAAUUUUAAGGUUUAUAGAUUACGGAAUAUUUAGGGAUUAUAUAUGGAUUAGAGAUUCUAGUUUAAGGGUUGUGAUUUAAGGGUAAUAGGGUAUAGGGGUUAUGGGUUAGAGGUUAAGAGUUAGUUAGGGAUUUAAACGGUUUAUGGUUCGGUGUUAGGUUAGGGUUUAGGGUCUAGAUUAAUUAGUGUGUUUUAAUUUAUAUAUUAAAUAAGGUUUAGGGGUUAGGGGUUAGAGGUUAGGGGCUGAGGGUUAUGAGUUUAGGGUUUUAAGGUUUAGGGUUAACAGUUUAGGAUUUAGGGUUUAGGGGUUAAGGGUCGGGUUAGAGUAUGGUAUUUGAUUUAAUUUCUGUUUUUUAAAUUAUAUAUAUUAAAUAAUAAGGAUUAGUAGUUAGUGGUUAGUGGUUAAUUGGGGUAAUUAGGGUUAUGAGUUUAGGAUUAGAGGUUUAGAGUUAGAGAUUUAGGGUUUAGAGAUUUAGGGUCGAGUUAGGGUUUAAGGUUUAGGAUAAUUAGUAUUUUUUAAUUUAUAUAUUAAAUAAGUUUUUAUAUAAGUGUGAAAGAUAUAAAAAAAUUGUAAACAUUAUUAGUUUUUAUAUAAGUUUUUAUGCUAAUUGAAUAUAAAAGAUUGAGAUUUGGCGGCGUUUAUAGCAAAAAACGCCACUAAUAUACAUUCGAAUUUUNNNNNNNNNNNNNNNNNNNNNNNNNNNNNNNNNNNNNNNNNNNNNNNNNNNNNNNNNNNNNNNNNNNNNNNNNNNNNNNNNNNNNNNNNNNNNNNNNNNNNNNNNNNNNNNNNNNNNNNNNNNNNNNNNNNNNNNNNNNNNNNNNNNNNNNNNNNNNNNNNNNNNNNNNNNNNNNNNNNNNNNNNNNNNNNNNNNNNNNNNNNNNNNUGUGGCGUUUUACUGAAAGCGCCUCAAGUAUUUUUGACAUUUUAUCAAUGCGGCGUCGUUUAUGUCCUGGAUUGAAAUAUUUUAGUGGCGUUUUGUAAGAAAACGCCGCAAAUACUUAUUAAAAUUUGCCAAUGCCCAGUUUUAAAUACUUUUCCAACUUCAAGCUCAUUUUAUCCAAAUCACCCAUUUCAUUGUUUAAAAACAAUAAAAAAUAUAAAUCUAAGCCUAACCAUAUUUUGGGCUAGGUGAGUUGUAUGGGUAGUGAACAUUUCUAAUUAUCAUUUAAAGAGUAAAUAACAUAUAUUUUUCUAAAAUUUGAAAGGUUUUAUAUUUUACGUGAUUUAAAAUUUUAAAAUGAAUUUUAAAAGAUUUUAAAAUUUUUUAAAAAAUNNNNNNNNNNNNNNNNNNNNNNNNNNNNNNNNNNNNNNNNNNNNNNNNNNNNNNNNNNNNNNNNNNNNNNNNNNNNNNNNNNNNNNNNNNNNNNNNNNNNUUAUUUUUAUAAUAUUUAUAUACUUUUAAAGAAAAGACCCAACUUUCUCCCUGAAACCCCUAACCUUUAACCCCUAAUUUAAAUCAUAAUGAUAAUUAAUCAAUAUUGAAUUAAUUCAAUAUAAAUCAUAAUAUUAAUUAUAUAAAGCUUUUAAAAUUUAUAAAGAUAUUGAUAUGGAUAGUUUUUUAAAGCUUUUUUUUCCUUCAUAUUUUAAAUUUUUUUAUUUUCUUACCUCAAAAAUUAUAUAAAAAUUUUAAAAAUUAUCUAAUUCUUUAAAAUAUUACUUAAUUUUUCAAAAAUUAUUUAUUUAAAAUUAAUAUGAAUUAUACAAUAAUUAAAUAUAAAAUUACAAAAAAAUUCAAUCAUUAGCGGCGUUUAUGAGAAAAACGCCGCUAAAGGUAAGCAAUAGCGGCGUUUGAACCAAAAAUGCCGCAAUUAUGAGAAUUUUUAUUUUCAAAACGACGUCGUUUGAUACAGGAAUUUAAUUUUUAGUGGCGUUUUUAAUAAAAAUGCCGCAAAAGUUAUAUAAUUAGUGGCGUUUUUUUGUAAGCGCCGCAAAUUUUACAAUACCAAAACGAGGUCAUUUUCUUCCCCAAAUCAGAUUUGACUUAAAAAAACUUAAAAUUGAGCGGUGGGUUUUAUUACCAAAUGCCGCCAACCCCCCCCAAGUUCUGAAAUCAAAUCCUUCACUUCAAAAUUUCGCUUUCCCUCACUUCAAAUGCCGUCGGCGAUGCCUCUCCUCAAGCUCCCUUGCCUAUGCUCAAGUCCACCAUCACUGGCGCCGCUUCCACCUCUCUUUCUGCUCAUAAGAAGACCAAGGGUCAUGGCUUCCGUGAGGGCGAUGCUGACCGCCACUCCCGUCUCGCCUCCCGCGACUUCGAGUUCUUCGGCACUGACGGCGGCCCUGGUCCCCAGAGAUGUUAGUCCCUUCACUAAACCCUAAUUUUUUCUCUCCCUGUUCACUUAUAUUGUUUCAUUUUGUUUGAUUUUCUAGGGUUUUAUUCUUAUUUUUUUCCCUACAAAACAAGAUGAUUACGAAAUUGCUUUCAUUUUUGCUGUAUGGAAGUUGAUCUUAAUUUCAUAACAAAAUUGGGUUUGAAAUAAGUUGGGAAUUUGAUAGUUUUCGCUUAAUGCUGAACCUUGAGCGGGUUUCUAUUUUUUUGGGGGGGUUAUAUGAAUUAUCUUCACUGUGUUUUUUUCCCCUUAUUUAUAGUCUAUGAAAUUUAAUUGAAUUUAAUUGUUAUUUCUUUGUUGCUUUUAAUACCCUUUCACUGUUCUUCGAUCUUUCUUUCAUUAUUUAUUUUUUGGAAUCGAUUGUGCGUUUUGUGAUAAAACAUAGAACUCGGCACAUGAUUCCAAAUGCAGUUUUGUCAGUACCAGAUAAAAAUGUUACAAUUGCUAAGAAAUGUUCUGUCUUUCCUGUUGAAUUUGUUGGUGAGUAUCUUUGAUAUUCUUAUCAUUCAUUUUUGUCACAUAAAGGGCGGACUCGGCACAUGAUUCCAAAUGCAGUUUUGUCAGUACCAGAUAAAAAUGUUACAAUUGCUAAGAAAUGUUCUGUCUUUCCUGUUGAAUUUGUUGGUGAGUAUCUUUGAUAUUCUUAUCAUUCAUUUUUGUCACAUAAAGGGCGGUUGAUAUUCUUAUCUUAUCUUUGAUAUUUUUAUCUUCAUGCAAUGGAUGAUUUCUUUUUGAAUGUCUCAUAGCUUUUUCUCCUCAUUAGUUCUGUUUUUUUUAUAUAACUUCUAUAAUUGGCACUUUUUAGAUUACUGAAGAGUAAGGAUUUUUCUACCUUAAAGGCCUUUUACUUUAUGCUGUGCAGGUUCAAGUGGAUUUUGAUGAUUAAACUAGAUGGGAGUAUCUGUUUAAGGUGUACUGGGUUCUUUUAAAAGAGAAGCUAGCUUUAACUUUAGAUGAGCUUACUAAUGCUACAAAUCCAUGGAAGGAACUUAGAGAAGCUUCAGCUAAUAUUGAACCAAAGCAUCAAAACAACGUUGCAGAUUUAAUAAAUAGUUACAAAAGUUUAUACCAAAAAUGGGUUUUUGAUCUCAGGUAAUUUAAUACUCUUAUUUACUUAAUGGUGUAAUUUUGAAUUUCAUUGGAAACUUUAAUUUGUUAGAAUUUGAUCCUCUUAAUUUGCAAAAAUUGGAAAUUUGAUCUGUUUUUGGUGUAUACAUGCUCUUGAACAGUUGGUUUUUGCUAAUUUGUUUUGAUCUCCGAUAGUUUAAAACUCUUAUUUACUUAAUGGUGUAAGUCUGAAUUUCAUUGGAAACUUUAAUUUGUUAGACUUCCAUCCUCUUAUUUUAUAAAAAUUGAAAAUUUAGUCUGGUUUUUGGUGAAUAUAUGAACUUGUAUUGUUAAUUUGUGUUAAUUUGUUGCAUUUAAAAUGUUAUAAAAAUUGACAAGUUGGUCCGGUUUUUGGUAGAUACAUUAUACAUGAACUGUUAAUUUUUGCUAAUUUUUUGCAUGUAAAUUAGUUGAAAUGAUNNNNNNNNNNNNNNNNNNNNNNNNNNNNNNNNNNNNNNNNNNNNNNNNNNNNNNNNNNNNNNNNNNNNNNNNNNNNNNNNNNNNNNNNNNNNNNNNNNNNUUUUUUAUAUCUCCUUACAUAUUAAAUAUUGAAAUGUUCUACUAAUGUUACCCAAAAUGGGUUUAGGGUUUUAAAAAUUGAAAAUUGAAAAUUUAGUCUGCUUGUUGGUAAAUGCAUGAACUUGAUCCAUUUAUUUUUGCUAAUUUGUUGCAUGUAAGUUUUUAUAAAUAUUGACAAAUUAGUCUGAUUUUUGGUAAAUACAUGAACUUGAACCAUUGAUUUUUGUUAAUUUGUUGCAUAUAAAUCAUUAUAGAAAUUGAAGAUUUAGCCCUAAUGCCGGUAAAUAUAUGAACUAUGAAUAAUUGAUUUUUUGCUAAUUUGUUUCACAUAAACUGUUGUNNNNNNNNNNNNNNNNNNNNNNNNNNNNNNNNNNNNNNNNNNNNNNNNNNNNNNNNNNNNNNNNNNNNNNNNNNNNNNNNNNNNNNNNNNNNNNNNNNNNGUUAAUUUCUUGCAUAUAAAUUAUUGAAAUGUUGAUUUUUGAUAAUUCCUUACAUAUUAAAUAUUGAAGUGUUGAUGUUCAAGCUAGUAAUUUAACAGUGAGGUUUACUAAUGUUAUCCAAUUGGACUAACUUAUCAGGUUUUAUAAAUUAAGGGGAUAAAAUUCAUAAUUAGACCUUUACUUAUAUAGUUUUAUUCCAAAGUGUUACCUUGAAAGUUAGUAUUGGCUUAAUUUUCCAGUACUUAUUAUGUGUAUGUCUUGCUUGAAGGCCUCUCCUUUAGGCAUGUGAUAAAAGGCUAGCACUUUUUGGUAGCAAGGAUGAAAAGUGGAAAGACAAAAAAAGUAUUAAUUUAAUGAUUACAAAUAUCUUUGUUAUAAAUUUCUACCAUUAGAUUAAAUAGUUUGCCAUCCUUACUGCACAGAACCGAAAGGAUUUUAAAGUGUUGAUUUAACUCUCUCUCUCUCUCUUAUAUGUAUUUGGUUUUGAUCUUGUUAAUUUGCUUGUUUAGACCAUAUGACUAGCAUUUGGAUUAUCUUCCAUUGAAUGUUUUUUUUUUUGUAUAAAGUUAUUUAUGCUGGCAUCUGCCUUUUUCUUUUUAGGCACUUAGAUUAAGAUCGAAUGAGCUAAAAUUGGAGAGGCAAUUGGAGAACACAGAGGCUGAAAUUUCUUCUUUCAAGUAUGCUGUAAAUUUUCUUUACCAAAGGGCUUGUGAUCUACAUUUUCAGGAUGAGUUGAUUACUUGUUUCUUCAAUUAUAUAUGCCUUUUGCCAUAUGUGUUCAAAAGUAACUGCCUGGAUUAUAAUGCUCAUACAUAACUCCUUGGUGCAGAAUUGAAGGUUACUUUUGUUGAUAUUAGUAGAGAAACAUUUAUUAUUGUUACAUAUUACAACUAAAGAACCAUAAAGGAAGCAAAAGAAUAUGUGUGCGUGUGGGGUGGGAGAUAUUUAAUUGUUAGUUAUUUGCUUAUUAAGUAGGUUUCCUGUGUGAAAUGUUUAAUGUUGUUUCCUUCCGUUUGCUAUAUAUUAUCAUGUUUAGACUUUCAUUUGGAUAUAGUUUCAUGUUGAUUCUUCUAAUAGUUAUAGGACAUCUUAUUCAUUCUGAAUUUUGCAGAAAGAAAAUGUCUAGCCUAGAGAAAGAGCGUCAGGAUUUUCUAUCAACCAUUGAAGCACUUAAAGAAGGUAAGUACGCUAAUAGCUAGGCGUUUUAAUGAUAAUAAUAUGUUUGUUGUAUAAGAUCUUGAAAAGAAUAGAAUUUAACAUAUGUUUUUUGGAAUUCAAAAUUUUAAAAGUAGUUAAAUUAAAUUUGCAAUUUAUGCAUAGUACAGGGAUUAAUGACAUAAAUUGAGUUUAUUUUUAACAUUGAAUGAUUUCUUUUGUGAAUUUGGUUUGAAAAAGAAAAGAAAAGAGAGAAAAAUAUUCUGGUAAAAGUGGCAGUUUAGCCUUUAACUUUUAAAAAGGUUGAAUCUAUUCAAUGCUAGCGCUUUUCUCUUCUCCUGCCCUUGACAGCACAUUCAUUUGACAGGAUAAUUUGGAAACCCUGUUGCAAGAGAAGGACAUUUAGGCUGAUCUAAUCUGUUGCUUGCAGCAUUUGCAGGUAUUUUGUGUAGUUUAAGUUGUGAACAUUGGGUUUUGAUUUGUCAUGUGAACAAAUAUGAUGAAUCUAAAGUGCAUUUUUAUUCUUCAAUUUGCAGUUAAGAUUUGAAACUGAAGACAAAGCAUGGAGACUUCUAAGUAAUGUGUCAUUUUUGUUGAAACCAAGGGAUUAUUUUUUCGGUAUUACUCCUGAAAAAGUGAUUGCCAAAAACUGCUGUUUCUGAUUUGUGUAUUUUCCUUUUCUUUUUUUUGUUCUUGUGGUUAUUGCUGCCCCUGUUUUUGGGAGGUGAUUGUGUAAACAUUUUAGUGUACUUUAGUUAUUGUAAGAAUAUUUUUAACAUUGUUAAUUUUAAUAUUAUUGUAAGAAUAUUUUGAAUUAUAAUUCAGUUAUCAAUUUAUAUAAUAUAUCUUUCAUUGAAUUUGAAGUAUCAUUUAAAUUUGUUGUUUUUGGUUGGAUUUUAUGUAUAUGGAUGAAAAUCGGAUGUUACAAAUUUGUUAAAAUUAGUGGCGUUUUUAUAUAAACGCCGCUAAAAAAUUGUACUUUUAGCGGCGUUUGUGAUAAAGCGUCGCUAAAGAUCAUGUUCUUUAGCGGCGUGGGAAAAAGCGCUGCUAAAGGUCUUGGUCUUUAACGGCGUUUUUAGGAAAAGCGCCACUAAAGCUCAUGUUCUAUAGCAGCGUUUGUGGUUAAAGCGCCGCUAAAGGUCUUGGUCUUUAGCUGCGUUUUUAGAAAUAAACGCCGCUAAAGUUAGCGACGCUGUCAUUAGCGGCGCUUCCGAAAGCGCCGCUAAAAGUAUUUGGGCGUUAAAAAGCGCCGCUAAAAGCCUGUUUUGGUAUAGUGAUGGCUACAAUUAAAAGCUAUCAAAAUAUCAAAUCUCUAAAAUUACAUAAUCGUAUAUUCUAAAGAUUACAUUUAAUAUCUAGGAUCACAUAUCUCCAAAGAUCACCUUCCAUAUUUGCCAAGCAUAUCUUUAGAAAAUCACUUUCCUUAUUUGCCAAGCUCCGGAGAUGGGCUUUUAAUUUCUCCAGGCAAUAGACCAGUCCAAUUGGGCCAAAUGACCUCCCUCGAAUGUGAUGGAUCGCACGAGUUCGUCAUGAUUGCGAGAUCCCAUGCGCAACCCAUGGCACUAGAGCUUUGUUGAAACUAUCUCCGUCGUUGAAAUCCAAAUAAGCAUAACUGCAAUUGAUUGUACACUGUAAGAAUAAGGCAUACACCCAAAAAUAAUAAAAAUUACACUAUUAAAAAAGACAUUCCAAUAUUCAAGACUUCAACCAAGGUUAAACUGUAGAUACCAAGCAGCAAUCAACUAAGUUCUACUUAGCCCUUAAAAUAAUAUGUCUAAGCUUAUCCACAAUCUUAGGGAGGCUUCAUCUUCAAACAAGUCAAUCAGUUAAGAAGAGGCUAAAAAAGGGAACAACAAAAAUCACUGCAACAGGAGAUCAUACCCUUUCACACCACCAGUUUCCCAAUCUACUGGUAUUGCAACCCUAGAAAUCUCUCCGCAAGGACCAAAGUGCUCUUUCAACGAAUUCUUAAUCUGUGAAUGUUUUCAACAGAGCAGAUAAUAUAAAUUCCAAACACAGUGGAGAAGAGGAGAGAUCAACAAAUGCAAAAUUUCAAAUAAACAACUCACCUCAUCCUGACCAAGAGACUGAUCAAAUCCUCUGACAUAUAUUGUUCGAACGUUACCUCUUCCACCUUUUUGGAACGAAUUGUUCCCAUUGCUGCAAAAAAUCAUUCAGGAAAUUAAGUUCAAUAAAAUAGUCCAAUAAACAGGCAACAUCUAGAUCGAAGGCUCAAAAGUUAAAUAUCCAUUCAUACAUUGACAUAGUGAAGGGAAAAAAGGACCUGCUAUGUGGUGUAUAUGCACCCCUUUCACGCGCCAGAUCAAGUCUAACAGCACGGUUCAUCAAAUAUUCACCAUUCAAUUCUAAGGCCUGUAGUAAAGUAAUACGUUAGCUGAUAACUUUCUAACUUCUUGACCUAAGAACAAAGAAGUGUGAAGCAAACACAUGUGCAGUUCACUUGAAGGCUGUUUAAUAAUGUGUUAAAAUGAAGAUACUUGAUUACAAAUUUUACAGAAAUGUUCAUAGAAUAUUUUAAUAUUAAUCAACAUUUACUAGAGAUACAAUUUGGGUAAGUCACACAUACCACUUCUAUGAAAAUCCAAAUCAAAACCUAUUCUGUAUUUAAUUUUCAUCAGCAAAAAUCAGUUCACAGUAGGAAAACAGAGUUUACAGAUUCAAUUCGAUAUUUCAGCACUUCAUUUCUCAUAAUUGAAGUUAUUAUUUCAUUAACCAAAAAAUUAGAAAAAUAAAGAUUGAUACGUUGCCUACAGUUAUUCUGUCUCAUACUAACAAGCAAACAAUAGUCAUAUGCUUGCCAAAUCUAUUAUCACAUAAAUAGUCAACAAAAAGAUAUUAUUUGAUUACUUGCAGAAAGAAAAGAAAACUAAAUUAUUUUAUACAUCAAAUGUCCAAUCCAAAAUAGUAAGAUGAAGAAUUUACCUUCUGUGCAGCCUCUGCAGUAGCAAAUUCAACAUGUCCAUACCCCUUAAAGUUCCCUUCAGCAUCAGUGGCAAGACGUAUAUCCACAAGCUCACCAGCAUCCUUAAAGAAAUUCUUUCUGCAGAACACAUUGAUCAGAAGAUAUUUAAAAAAAAAAUCAAUUUCAGAGGGAAUUAAAGAACCUAAACGUACAUUUCAUCUUGUUCAAUUUGGAAAGAUAAGUUUCCAACAAAUGAAGUCUUUGAUCCAGUAGAUUGAACUUGAGGAGUUGCAGGAGUUUGGGGCUGCAGAAAAACCUCUAAUCAGAUUCAAACCUGUUUGACUAAUGAACCAAAAAAAGCAGUAGUUAUCCAAUUUAAAAGAAACUGAAAGGAAAGUUGGCACUUACAGCUUUCUUCCCAGAUCUUACUUCCUGCUGCUUGGCAUUUUUCUGUGGGGUCGUAGCAUCCAACAUUUCUACAUCUGUGUCCUAUCCAAAUAUAUCGUACACCACUACAUUAGGCAAUCGUCAUAAUAACCUGGAAAAAGUGAAAAGAAGAGGGAAAUACAUGUACUUUUUUCUUUGGAGUUUUUUCAUCAUCACUUUCCUCAUCAUCAUCGGAUGAUUCUUCAGAUUCCUCCUCUUCACUACUGCUUACCUUUUUAACUUUAGCAGCUUUACCACUAUCCGGAGCAACCUUGGACUGCAGCUUAUAGAAUUGGACAACUUAGUGAAUUGAUGCUAGAACAACAAUAAAAAAGAUCUAGAAAAAUGUGGGUGAUCAAGAAAAUUUGACCUUUUUAGCAGCUGGUUGUUCAUCCUCACUUUCAUCAGAGCUAUCAUCCUCACUAUCAUCGCUUUCCUGCAAUGUGAAAGGGAAGUUAGCAAGAAAAAGAGUCAUGCUUUGUUCACAGAACAUAGACAAUGUUAAAGAUUUAAAGAACUGAAGCAAUUAAACCCUAAGACAAGUUACAGUUGGCAAGCAAUCUCAGAAAAUCGUCGCAGGUAAGAAAAAAUAUGCCAAAAUAAAUUGGAUCAAUCCAAAAAAUUCAAUGAAUGCAGAAGUGCAUUUUCCUCCCCACAUCAAUAAUUAGCAAAAUGCAAAGGUAGACUGUCAGAGGGUCACACAAAAGAACACAAACCCAUCAAACUACUUUUUUUUUGAUAACCAUUCAUUAGAAGAAGGUUUUUGAAAAAAAAUCAUGAGCAGCAACAAAUAAUAUCACAAGUUGUCGUACUCCUAGAAAAUAAUGCCAAUGACCAGGAAUGCAAUUAUAAGAGUAAAAAGUAAGGAGGAGAAACCUCUUUUGGUUGUUUUGACCCAGCAGUGGGGAAUGGCUUUUUUGAAGCAACAAGAACUUUGUUUGAAGGAGCCUGCAGUGUGAUAUUAAUGCAGUGCCAAAUUACUACAAGUUCAAUGAGAAAAAAGAAGUAACAGAAAAUGUCCCAUAUCUAGAAGAAUUGUUCAUUCCUCGUUCUAAGGAUCUUGGUAACAGAAUUUUUCACCAGACUUAAAACUAUAGGAUUACCUCAUCCUCAGAGGAAUCAGUUUCUGAGGAACUUCCAGAUGAAUAUUCUUUCUUUGAUGUUUUCCCAUUACAGGUUUCUUUGCUUCAACUUUCUGAUAAAAUUUAAUCAUCGGCAUUACAUGAAUAACAAAACUUUCAUAACCAAAAUGAAACUGAUAUUAAUAAAACUAAAAUGCUAAAGCAGACCAUUUCUUCCUCAGAAUCACUAUCAUCAGAGGAGCUACUACUGGAAUCCUCAUUUUUCUUGGGGGUAGGAGCAGAAGCCUUGUUCACAGUGAUUGCUUUCUUCACAUCCUAGAGCAGUGUAACAUAAUCAAUAAAAUAUGUACAUAAAUGAAAUAAAAGAAGAAAAGAGAACUUCAUGAAUGAGACACCAGACCUCUUCAUCAGAAUCCUCCUCAGAGCUGCUAUCACUAGAAGCAGUAACAGAUGGUACACUUUUCGCAGCAGAAUUGGGCAAAGCAGCCUUUUGAGGUUCCUAUACAAGAAUAUAUUAAAUUACUGGAAUUAUCAAACAUAAUAAUAUUCUGUAACACCCCCUAACCCCAAACCAUCGCCGGAAUAGGGUUACGAGGUAUUACCGGAUCUAUCAGACAACUUAUGAAUAAUUCAUUUAAGUCGAAACCGAGUUUAGAAGUACAUGCCACAUUUAAGUCGAAACUAAGUCAGGUUUUUGGAUGCUAAUAUAUUUAUUUGAUUUUGUUUUAUAGAUAAAAUGUCAGAUGAAAGAAUGUAUGAAGUUGAACAGGAAAUGCAUACUGGAAGUCGAGAACUUGAAGAAACUGAAUCUGCUACACCUAGUGUGAAUCCAUUAGAUAAUCAACCUCCUAAUGUAGGAUGAGAAAGAGAUGACUCACAACUGUUAAGAACUAUAGCCGAUGCAUUACAGCGUGUAGCAGGAACUAUACCUGCUACUACACCAGUACCAACUGUCAGACGGGCCCCGAUUAAAGAGCUACAUUUCAGAAGAAGUAUAUUGGGAAAUGUACAUUGAAGAGAAAAAACAAGAGUUUUUAGUGUUGAAAUAGGGUAAUAUGUCACUACUGGAUUAUGAGCGAGAGUUUUCUAGACUGAACAGGUAUGCUUCAGAAUAUAUUCCAACCAAGGCUGAUAGUUGUAAACGAUUUCUACGAGGACUGCGAGAUGAAUUCAAGAUUCAAUUGGUAAGUCUCAGAAUUACUGAACUUGUCGAUCUGGUUGAGCGAGCAAAAAUGAUAGAACAAGUAUUGGGCCCGGAUAAAAAGUCAGAAAUGGGUAAAUCAGCUGGGAAACGUAUGGGAAUUACCAGUUCUAAUCCAUUACCGAAGAGAUCCAGAGAAUCAAGAAGUGGUUGGAGAUCAAACUUUCGGUCUGAUAGAGGUGACAGAAGUAGAGAAAAACAGAUUACUGUUUCCACCGGUAGUGUAAAAGCUCCGCCCCAAAAAAGUGAAAAUCAUGAUUGUAAUUAUUGUGGGAAAAGACAUUUUGGUGAAUGCUGAAAGAAAAUUGGAGGAUGUUCUGCUGUGGCUCUACUGAACACUUUGUUAAAGAUUGUUCGAAAACUCAGAGUAGUACACCUGCCACAUCUCAGAGAUCGGUAUCGACUGCCAGAGGUAGAAGAAUGUCCAGAGGAGGUUCUGUUUUGAGGAGAGGAGGAGCUGGUAGAGGCAGUGAUAUAGCUACACAGCAAUCUGAAGCCAAAGCUCCAGUUAGAGCUUAUGUAGUCAGAACCCGAGAAGAACUUAAUGCUCACGAUUUGGUGACAGGUAUAUUUUUACUGUAUUCUGAGCCUGUUUAUACUUUGAUUGAUUCUGGAUCUUCACACUCAUAUAUUAAUUCAAAAUUAGUAGAGUCGGGGAAAUUAAAAAUAGAAAUGUCUAAAGUCUCAAUAUAAGUAUCAAGUCCAUUGGGGCAAACAAUAUUAGUUAAUCAGGUGUGCCCGAAAUGCCCGCUAAUAAUUUAUAAUAAAAAUUUUCCGGUGGAUUUAUUAAUAAUGCCUUUUGAAAAUUUUGAUGUUAUAUUGGGUAUGGACUGGUUAGUUGAACAUGGGGUAAUUUUCGACUGUUAUAAAAAGAAAUUCAGUGUUCAGACUGAAGAUGGUGAUUGUGUUGAAGUAAAUGGAAUUCGUACUAGUAGGUUAGCUCAAAUCAUAUCAGCAAUUAAAGUUAAUAAGUUGCUUCAUCAGGGUUGUACAGCAUAUCUGGCAUAUGUUAUUAAUUCUGAUUCAGUCAGAAGUCAGUGUAGUCAGAUUAGGACUGUAUGUGAAUUUCCAGAUGUAUUCCCUGAAGAACUGUCGGGCUUACCACCUAACAGAGAGGUUGAAUUUGCUAUAGAAGUGUAUCCGGGUACAGCACCAAUCUCUAUACCUCUGUAUCGAAUGUCGCCCACUAAAUUGAAAGAGUUGAAGGUGCAGUUACAGGAUUUACUAGAUCGUGGGUUUAUUAGACCGAGUAUUUCACCUUGGGAAGCUCCGGUAUUAUUUGUUAAGAAGAAAGACGGUUCAAUGCGGCUAUAUAUUGAUUAUCGACAGUUGAACAAGGUAACAAUCAAGAAUAAAUAUCCAUUACCUCGGAUUGACGAUUUAUUUGACCAACUGAAAAGAGCUUCAGUAUUUUCGAAGAUUGAUUUAAGGUUCGGGUACUAUCAGUUGAAAGUAAAGGAAAGUGAUAUACCGAAGACAGCUUUGCAAGGUAUGGUCGUUAUGAAUUCUUGGUAAUGUCAUUUGGAUUAACUAAUGCUUCAGCUGCUUUCAUGGAUCUUAUGAAUCGUAUCUUCCAACCGUAUUUAGAUCAGUUCGUGGUAGUCUUCAUGAUAUACUGGUCUAUUCAAAGACAGAGGCAGAACAUGAACAAUAUCUUAAAAUAGUGCUACAGAUAUUACGGGAGAAACAGUUGUAGGGAAAGCUCAGCAAAUGCGAGUUCUGGUUAUCAAAAAUUAUAUUUUUGGGACAUAUGGUAUCGACAGAUGGAAUCAGAGUUGAUCCGAAGAAGAUUGAAGCAAUUAUUCAGUGGAAAGCACCGAAAAUGUAUUUGAAGUACGCAGUUUUCUUGGUCUGACUAGAUAUUAUAGAAGAUUUGUAAAUAGAUUUUCGAAAAUAGCUUUGUCGAUGACUAAGUUACUACAAAAGAAUAUUCCUUUUGUCUGGGAUGAGCAGUGCCAAAGGAGUUUUGAGACAUUGAAACAAAUGUUGACAAGGAAACCAGUUCUAACUUUACCAGAAUCGAGGAAAGAUUUCAUAUUGUACAGUGAUGCUUCUCUGAAUGGUUUGAGCUGUGUAUUAAUGCAAGACGAAAAAGUAAUAGCUUAUGCAUCUCAACAGUUGAAGCCACAUGAACGCAACUACCCGACACACGAUUUGGAGUUAGCUGCUGUAAUAUUUGCAUUAAAGAUUAAAAGACAUUACAUGUAUGUUGAGAAAUGUUAUAUUUACAGUGAUCAUAAAAGUCUUAAAUAUUUUCUGUCACAAAAGGAGUUGAAUCUGAGACAGAGACGAUAGAUAGAACUUCUGAAAGAUUAUGAUUAUAUUAUAGAUUAUCAUCCAGAAAAGGCAAAUGUGGCAGUAGAUGCAUUGAGCAAAAAGACAGCGAUUGAAUUACGGGCAAUGUUUGCUCGGCUUAGUAUCAAUGAUGAUGGAAGUUUGUUAGUUGAAUUAAAAGUUAAGCCAAUGAUGUUUAUUCAAAUUAGAGCAGCUAAGAUGGGAGAUGAGAAGAUAAUGAAGAAAAGAGAAAUGGUACAGCAUGGUACAGUGGAAAAUUUUGGUAUUGACGAGCAUGAUUAUUUAAGGUUUCGGAAUUGGAUUUGUAUCCCAGCUACUUCUGAGAUUAAAGAGUUGAUUCUCCGAUAAGCACAUGAUAGUACUUUUGCUUUGCACCUUGGUGGAACGAAUAUGUAUCAUGAUCUACGAGAACUGUAUUGGUGGCCAGGAAUGAAGAAAGAUAUAGUCAAAUAUGUUGGUAAAUGCUUGACAUGUCAGCGAGUAAAAGCAGAGCAUCAGGUACCGACAAGUCUACUUCAGCCUAUUAGUAUUCCUGAGUGGAAAUAAGAUUGUGUCACUAUGGAUUUCGUUACAGGACAACCGUUAUCAACAAGCAAAAAGAAUGUUAUUUGGGUAAUUGUUGAUCGGCUUACAAAGUCAGCUCAUUUCAUAGCAGUCAAAACUGAUUGGUCAUUACAGAAGCUUGCCAAGGUUUAUAUCCGGGAAGUUGUAAGAUUGCAUGACAUUCCUACAUCGAUAAUCUCAGAUCGGGAUUCGCGGUUUAUUUUGAGAUUUUGGAGGCAACUACAUAAUCUUUUGAGAACUCGGCUCAAUUUUAGUACGACUUUUCAUCCACAAACGGAUGGACAAUCAGAGCAGGUAAUUCAAAUUCUGGAAGAUAUGCUUCGGGCUUGUAUUAUCGAUUUUGAAUCAGGUUGGGAACGAUAUUUGCCACUAGCAGAAUUUGUUUAUAACAAUAGUUUCCAAUCUAGUAUUCAGAUGGCUCCGUAUGAAGCAUUAUAUGGUCGAAGGUGUCGAUCACCAGUAUGUUGGAUAGAAUUGAAUGAAAGAAAAGUGAUUCGGCCAGAACUGAUUCAAGAAACAGAAAAAAACAAUUAAGAAGAUUAAAGACAGAUUGAAAGCAGCCUUUGAUAGGCAGAAAUCAUAUGUAGACUUGAAACAGCGAGACAUUAAAUAUUCUGUUGGUGAUAAAAUAUUCCUUAAAGUAUCGCCUUUGAAGAAAGUUUUAAGAUUUGACCGAAAGGGUAAAUUAAGUCUACAUUUUGUUAGGCCGUAUGAAAUUGUGGAGAGAGUUGGACCAGUUGCUUACCGAUUGAAUUUACCUCCGAAAUUAUAGAAAAUUUAUGAUUUUUUUCAUGUUUCUAUGUUACAAAAGUAUUGAUCGGAUCCAUAUCAUAUUAAUUCUACUGAAAAUAUUAAGAUUAAACCGGAUUUGUCAUAUGAAGAAGAACCAGUUCAAAUACUAGCUCGAGAAGUGAAAGAAUUAAUAAACAAACGGGUUCCUCUAGUAAAAGUAUUGUGGAGAAGCCAUAGUGUGGAAGAAGCAACAUGGGAACCGGAGGAAACUAUGAGAUCACAGUAUCCUCACUUAUUUUCAGGUAAAACUUUGAGAACGAAAUUUUUUAAGGGGGAAGAAAUGUAACGACCCAAAAUCCUUGGCCACCAAAAAAGUGUGUUAUCGAGCCUCCGUCUUAGUAAACCGAGUUAGUAAAUAAGUAUUAGGAGUACUUAAAAUUAUUAGUCUGAUAAUGUGUUUAAUUAGAUUUUUUUAUUUAGUGAAUUUAGUUUAACUAAAAGUAAUUAGGAAAAAUGAUCAAAUUGAAUAAAGAGUGAAAGUCUAAUUAUAGAUUAAAAGAAAGUAAAAAGGGCUAAAAUGACAAUUAAGUCAUUUAGCAUAGUUGAUGCGGCAUAAAGGGAAUAAAAUCUAAGAUUUUAUUUGUUUUAAUUAUAUAAUUAUUUAUUGAUUCUCUAGAUCUAUUUGGUAAUGGAUUAGAACUGGUAAUUUCCAUAGGUUUCCCAGCUGAUUUACCCAUUUCUGACUUUUUAUCCAGGCCCAAUACUUGUUCUAUCAUUUUUGCUCGCUCAACCAGAUCGACAAGUUCAGUAAUUCUUAGACCUACCAAUUGAAUCUUGAAUUCAUCUCGCAGUCCCCGUAGAAAUCGUUUACAACUAUCAACCUCGGUUGGAAUAUAUUCUGAAGCAUACCUGCUCAGUCUAGAGAACUCUCGCUCAUAAUCCAAUACUGACAUAUUACCCUGUUUCAGCACUAAAAACUCUUGCUUUUUCUCUUCAAUGUACAUUUCCCCAAUAUACUUCUUCUGAAAUUCUUUUUGAAAUAAGUCCCAAGUUACCUGAUCUUCCGGCAAAUGUCUAAUCACAAAUUCCCACCAGAGAUACACUUCUCCUUGUAACAAUGAUACAACACAUAUCAGAUUCUCUCGAGGAGUGCAAUCUAAUUGUUGCAAAACUCUUUUUGUUGAUUGCAUCCAAUUUUCAGUAGCGGACGGAUCAAUUCCUCUUAAUCCCAAAAACUCCGUGUCACCAUAUUUUCAUAGCUCUUUAAUCGGGGCCCGUCUAACAGUUGGUACUGGUGUAGUAGCAGGUACAGUUCCCGCUACACGCUUAAAUGCAUCGGCUAUAGUUCUUAACAGUUGUGAGUCACCUCUUUCUCUUUCUACGUUAGGAGGUUGAUUAUCUAACGGAUUCACACUAGGUGUAGCAAAUUCAGUUUCUUCAAGUUCUCGACUUCCAAUAUGCAUUUCCUGUUCAACUUCAUACAUUCUUUCAUCUGACAUUUUAUCUAUAAAACAAAAAUAAAUAAAUAUAUUAGCAUCCAAAAACCCGACUCAAUUUCAACUUAAAUGUGGCAUGUACUUCUAAACUCAUUUACGAGCUUGAUUUAGUCCGAGAAUCGACUAAACCUUAGCUCUGAUACCAAUAAUUAUAAUACCCCCUAACCCCAAACCGUCGCCAGAACAGAGUUACGAGGCAUUACCGGACCUAUCAGACAACUUACGAAUAAUUCAUAAUUAAAAUAACAUUCAUAGUAUAAUUUAAUAAUUAAAUUCCUAUAUGUAUUAAAACCUGUUUAGUACUUGACUUCUACAACCUGCGCACGAAAACAACCGUACGCUGAGUUUGCAUAUACUCAGUGGUAUCACUAUAAUUCAAUUUAUAUUUAAAUACAUUAAAUCACAUACACAUACUUUUACAUUACAAUUAUCAUUACUUAAUGAACAAUUCAAUCUUUUAUAUUAUCAUUUGAUUAUAUAUAUCAUUCUUAUUUCUUUAUUUCAAUUCUCACCUUUAACAUAUGUCAUAUCAUUCAAAUUUAAUUUUAUCAGUAAAUUUAUUUAAUUUGCCCCUAUUAACUUGACUCGAACUCGGCGGAUACACGAAUUCCAACCAACACACCAAUACUACACAUUGUACCUUAAUGAUACACAGCACCUAAACAUUAAUUAGUAACGGUAACAGUAACAAUACUCAACUCACAAAGUGUCGAAUUAGUAACAGUAACAGUAGUCGACAUAUAAAUGCCUGAUCAGUAAACCGACAAAAACCCAUACUCUUCUAUAUCCUAUGGCAUGCCAACUAUAUCCGACUAGUUAAUAGGAUAUUUAAUUCACUUUUCAGUACAAUUUCCAUCUUAGUUCAGUAUCAAUUAUAAUUCCUUAAUUAAAUCAGUUUCACAGUAUUGCUGUAAUUCAUUACUUCAGUAAUUUCACAGUUCAAUGCAGUACAUAUAACAAUAUUCAGUAACUUCAUAAUUCAGUUCAGUAUCAGUUUUAAUACCCAAACAUAAAUUUUCAUUUUACUAAACACUUACCUUAAAAUACUCGCCAUACAUAAUUAGUAAAUUAAAAACAUAAUAAUGAUAAAGUUUGAAUUGUAGUGAUACAAACCAGAAUUCUCUUCGGAUUUAAUCUUUAACAAUCUUUUCUUUCCUUUUUUGGGUCGAUACUUCAGGCUCGAUAUUAGCUACGAAAAAUUAAAAUAAUUUCACAAUCAUUAGCACAACACAAUUUAAUUGUUGAAAUUUUUAUCUAACUUUUACUUUAAUUUCAAUUUGAAUCCUAACUAAACCUAUAUAUUUUUCUUUCUCAAUUCAUACCCUUUUGCUACUCAAUUUCUUGCCAAACUCACAUUUAACUAUCUAAUUUUUAUCAUAUUUUCAUAAUUUCGAAUUUAUUUCAAUUUAAUCCCUAAAACUCAAAACUUAUAGCUUAGUUUAUAAUUCAAUCAUUUAUUCAAUUCCAAUCAAAAUUUCUAUAAAAUAAACCUUCAAUUCCAUCAUUUUUUUCAACAUAAACCUUACUAAAAAAUCUAUUAACUUUUAAAAUUUCAACUUAAAUCCAAAAGCAUUUCUCUCUAGGAUUCUAAAAACAUCAAAUUUAUAAGAAAAGGACUUGAUUAAACUUACCAAUUAAAUUUCAAGCUUUAAAACCCUAAUUUUCCCUCUCUUCUUUCUUUCCUUUUUCUUUCCUAUUCUGUUUUGAAAUGGCUCUGUUACUUUUAGCUUUGUUUCUUUUCUUUUAUGUUUUCUUUUUUUUUAUUCAUUUACUUUAUUUUAUAUUUAAGUUAAUUAAUAAUUAUAAAAUAUCUAUUUUAAUAACAAAUAUAAUUAAUACAUUUGUGCUAUAUCAUAACCUUACAUUUGUCUUAAUCUAACUAAUUUAUCAAAUAAAUAAAAUUUUUUAAUAUAAUAUUUAAUUAAUAAAUAUCUUUUACUUAAAAUUUAAGAAAAUAUACAAUUAUAGUACAAAUGUACAAAUACAUAUAUUACACAUAUAUUUUAUCAUAUCCAUACAAUUGACAUAUUUUGAUUUAUUUAAUAAUAUAAUAUCAUUAUAAUUUAAUUAUCAUUAAUUAUAUAAUUAAAACAAAUAAAAUCUUAGAUUUUAUUCCUUUAUUCCGCCUCAACUAUGCCAAAUGGCUUAAUUUCCAUUUUAGCCCUUUUUAUUUUUUUAAUCUAUAAUUAGACUUUCACUCUUUAUUCAAUUUGAUCCUUUUUCCUAAUUACUUUUAAUUAAACUAAAUUCACUAAAUAAAAAAAAAUCUAAUUAAACACACUAUCAUACUCAUAAUUUUAAUUACUCCUAAUACUUAUUUACUAACUCGACUUACUAAGACGGAGGCCCGAUAACACACUUUUUUGGUGCCCACGAAUUUUGGGUCGUUACAUAUUCAAUACCAGUAAAACUAUAGGUUUUUUAAGGACAUCUUGGUCUAUCAUAAGCCCAUAUUUUUACAGGCUUUCAAGACAUGUUUGCCUAGAAAGCUUCUUUUUUUUUUUGAAAGCGCAUAAUUAGAAAGCUUUGAUAAAUAUACCAGGGAUUUUUUUUUUCUUUUGUAACAUUAGUGGCAUCCCGGCACUCAACAUCCUCUUCAUCAGAAGAGCUGUCAAAUUGACAAAUUCAAAACCAAAGAUCGUUCAACAGUUCAACAAUCAAAUACUUACUUCAUCUUCAUUUGAGCUGCUAUCUUCAUCUGAAGAAUCCAAACUGCUAGAAGAUUUGCCUUUAUUAACAGGUGCAGAGCCAUUUUUAACAACUGCUACCUUCGUUUUGGCAGCAGGCUCCUAUAUCAAAAUUAAAUAGAAGAUAAAAAAUCAGCAGGUGGUAUGGAAAAUUUUUGGUUCAGUCCAUCAUUAGCCUCAGUACUUACCUCUUCUUCAACAGAGCCAUCAUCAGAAGAAGAAUCAGAACCGCUAUCAGCUUUCUUUGUCUUAGCAGCAGGAACCGAGCCCUUUUUAGCAACUACAGGUAUUUUAUUCUUGGCAGGGACUUCCUGGGAAAAAAAUUGCAACAUAAACAAUCAUACAAAGAACAUGUGCAACCAUGCAACUUUUACAAGCUUGAGCGUAACACUCACUUCAUCUGAGGAUGAAUCUUCCUCACUACUAGACUCAGAAGAAACUGAACUGCUUGCUUGUUUUUCUUUCUUUGCAGGUAAAGACCCAUUUUUGGCAAUGGCAGCCUGUUUCUUCAGGGGCACAGGUUCCUGAACCAUAAAAAAAUAAAAAAUAUAUAGCAUUAAAAAGGCAAAGCAGAUACAUGAUUUCAUAUGCUUCAUUUUAUUUUUCUAUGAAUGUAUUACCUAGACAAUUAAGAGAAAACAAUAAAAAACAUAUAUAACUAAGUUAAAGCAGUUACAUAAUGUAAUGAACUGAUACAAAAUAGAACAUGAAUGACAAGUGAACUAUCUGCAUAAAUCAAUACAAACAACAACAAACGUAGAAUAAUAAGUAAAUGAGACAGUUGCAUUGUUCAUACAUCCUCAGAAUCCGAAGAGUCAUCAGAAGAACAACUAGUUUCUUCUUUCUUCUUAGUCUUCUUCUGGGUCUUCUCUUCAACCUUCUUCUUCACAAUAGCUUGUGCUACUCCAUCGUUUUGCUUCUGCUUUUUAGCAGCCACUUGUUUUUCAGGAGUUUCUUCAGCUUCUCUCUUGCCUAUACAAUCAGUAACAAAAAGAAAAUUGAAGAAAAAGGCACACAAAGUACAGUGAAAACCUUAAACAAACAGUUACGCUACAAUGUGGACCAACCUGAAAAUACUCAACCUUUAUCGCACACUUUAAGAAAGAAAAAGACUAAAAAUUCAAAACUAAUAAUGUCAGUAAGUAUAAAAUAUAUACCGGCUGAGGAGGAGUUGCUUCAACCUAUAAGAGAUAAAUUGGAAAACACAAAAUCAAACCAAGACUAAAAUAAUAAAUGGAUUGAAAAAACGAAAGAAAAAGCCGAGAGAAUAAUUAGGAGUAAAAACAGAUGUGAAAGAAGAGUACUUUAGUGAUAGAUUUCUUGCUUGAUGUCCCCAUAGUUAGGAUCUACGGAUUAUGUCAUAGGGAAAAUAAAAACAGACCAGAGUUGCUAGACCCUAAUAUCAGUUUAGAUAUUUUUUGGGUAGGGCUUUGGGGAGAUAUUUGGAUCUAUUAAUUAAAUAUUAUAAGAGAUAUUUACCCGCUGCCAAUGAGGCAGUGGGUUUAGGGUUUUGCGACGCUUAGAUAGACCUUGUUUGUGUUGUGGUGAAUUAUAAUAAUUAAUUUUACCAUUAUUAUUACUAUUAAUCUUAUCUAAAAUACAUUCUAUUACACUUGUCGCGUGUAACAACUGCCUAGUGGGAUUAUAUUUGGGGUUUUCAACUAGCUCACCUAUGAUCCACUCCAUGGGUUAGGCUCGGCCCAGUUUACACCUUAAAAACUUGGACCCAUACCCAAUAAAAUACUAUAGUUAAAAUAUGUUAUUAAUCGUUAUACUUUGACUAAAUUUAAUAUUUAGUCUCUGUGUUUAAAGUUAAAUUUUUAGUCCUACUUUUUUAUAUAAAAAAUUUAGUCUAGUCGUUAAAAUCAAAAGCAUUUUUUGUUAAAUUUUUCAACUUGAAUUUUUUAUUAGUUUAUUCUCGUAUGACGUGACAUAUGAUUGACAAAAAAUAAAUUUGGCAAAAAAAUACUUACUAUUUUAAUGACUAUUCUAAUAUUUUCAAAUUGAAAAAAUAGAAAUUUUCAAUUUUCAAUUUUUAAAGUACAAUACCAAAUCUCAAAUUCUAUACAAGUAAAGGGACUAAUAGCACAUUUUAACCAAAUUCAAAACAAUCUUUUUUUUAUAGAAUGCCUACUUUUAGUAAUAAGUCCCCCAACCCUUGAAUCGAAGGAUAAACAUGUUUGGUUGCUCUUGAACUCAUGUCAUCCUAAUUAAAGCAAUAGCGACAGUGCCAACUAAGUUAAUGCUCAAUCGUGACACUUUUUUUUUUUUUGAAAAACAUAAAUAAAAAUGGGUAUAUUUAUACUCUUGUGAAAAAUGUAUGGUUUCUCUUAGUUUGUAUGCUAGUAAGUUAUUCAACUCAAGUGGUGUGUUAGAUAUUUAGUUUAGUGCUAAUAAUGAUUGAAUGUAUUGGUGUUAUAACUUCAAAAACAAACAUUAUAUUAGAGAAAUUGUUGAGGUUUUAUACUUUAAAAGUCUAAAGUUCAAAUCUUAAUAAUAUAUAUUUUAGAUUAUUUUUAUCUUUUAAUGUUAUAUAAUAUCUUUUAAAAAAUUUACUCAAAAGAUCAAAAUCAGAACAUGCUAAUUUUUUUAAAAAAUAUCAUCCUUUUAAAAACCAAAUAUUUAUAUAAACUAUAUGUAUUAACUAUUAUUGAUGUGAAUAUGAUAUGAUCUAAUAUUUAUUUAAUAUUUUUAUUUAGUCAGUACUUUGUGUCAUAAAUUAAUUAGUAUCAAUUUAAUUAAAAGUAAAUAUAUGUAUUAGGAAUGUGAAUAUAACAAUCUGCCUUAUUUAAAGGGAAAUUUUUUUCUCCGAUAUAAAAAUUUAUAAAAAAAAUUAUGUUUUUUUUAUAAUGGAAUGUCAAGUAUAAUGUAUUUUAUAUGAAACAACUAUUUUAGCCAAGUUAUUGACUCGCCCUUAUAUUGGAUCAUGCUGCCUCUAACACGCAUUUUCACCCCUAUAUCAUACAAAUAAUAUCUGACAUGAUUGAUUGAAAUUCCCAGUGAACAAAAACUUUCCUCAUAAGAACAUUAAUCCACUUGUUGGUGUUAUCGCUGCAAACACAAUUCACUGUAGCAAAUUGUUGAAGCCAUAAUAAUAAUGAACAUAAAAAUAAUAGCCGACAUCGAAGUUUAGAGUUGCAGUCUAUGUUAUACCAAGCUAUAAACAAGUUCCUAUUAUAGUCCUACGCUAUCAGUAUCACUCCACAGAAUUCAACACCACCAUCUUUUUCAAUCCAAAUACAAUAAUCUAGCAAAAUUCCAUUCUAAAUAUCUCACUGUGAGACUCAAUAGUGGUCAACCUGGGUCUAGCAACAUGAACUACAUCAUUCUCAUGUCUUCUAAAUGCAUUCAGGAUAGAUAUAGAUAUUUGAUUUAUUCUUCAGAUGAUUUGAUUAAGGUUAAGGAUUAUAUUGUUGAAGAUCAUAUCAUUCUUAGCUUUCCAAAUGGACCAACAACUCAUUAGCAGAAACAUAUACUCUUGCUAUCUAAAGUUUCAAACUGUUGAGUAUGACUCUUAUUUUAGUCAAAUUUGAGAAAUAAUCUUUUAGUUAAACUCUGUUUAUUUGUUUCAAUCAAACUCUAAUUAGUCUAGAUUAUUUUGUUAUUAUUUGACCUAUGAAUUUAACCUAUAAAUAGACUCUUUUACAACCUUAGAAAAUACACCUAUUAGAGAUUAGAACUCAUAACACAUUUAAAGAAUUUUGUGUUUACAUUUUGAGGGUUCUUUAUUUUCGGGUUUUUGGGGUUUAGUUUUUAUCUCCAUCUUUUGUACUCUUCAUUCUUUUGCCAUUAUAGUAAAAUUAUCAUUGCUCGUGGUUUUUUAUCCUCUUUGGAGGGGUUUUUCUACAAUAAAUUUGUGUGUUCAAUUUCUCAUUUACUUGUUCGCUGCUUAAUCGGGUCGAUUCCCAACAAGUGGUAUCAGAGCUAGUUCAAUUUCCAUAGAUCAACCCAUUCAGAAAUGGCAGCAACAAGGUUUGAAAUUGAGAAGUUCGAUGGUGAGACAAAUUUCAAUCUGUGGCAAGUUCAUAUGAUGGCAAUUCUAGUUCAAACCGGCUUGAAAAAGGUUGUUACCGGGAAAAAACCCGAGAAUCUAAAUCAAACAGAAUGGGAAUAGCUUAAUGAAAAGGCCUUGUCUACAAUCCAGUUGUGCCUCGCAAAUACGGUAUUGCAGGAGGUAUUAAUGGAGAAGACCUCAUCCGCCUUGUGGAAAAGGUUAGAAACUCUUUAUGCGACUAAGUCUCUAGCUAACCGUUUAGUGUUGAAACAACGUUUAUUUACGUUUCAUAUGAAUGAAUAUGAGUUUCUUAGAGAUCACAUCAGUCAACUCAUUACUCUUUUAAAUGAUUUAAAGAACAUUGAGGUUCAUAUUGACGAUGAAGAUCAGGCUAUGCUAUUAUUAUGCUCUUUACCCCUUCAUGCAAGCCUUUCAGGGGACUCUGAUUUAUGACAGAGACAAACUCUCGUUCGAAGAUGUGAAGGGUCAUUUGUUGAGUAGAGACAAACAUGACAAUGAGUUUGGUUUGGAUAGCAAGGUAGAUAAGCAAGCUUCUGUUUUGGUAGCAUUAAAAAAACGAGACAAAAGGUGUCGCUAUUGUAAAAAAAGUUAGGUCACGUCAAAACAGAUUAUUAUAAAUUACGAAAUAAAAGAGUUGCUGAAAGUAACGAGGAAGAUGUAGCUGGUGCUAAUUUGGCCGAUAAAAGCGGUGAUAAUUUCUUAUUAGUGUCAACGAGCGAUAACUCUAAGCUUACGUCCGAGUGGAUUCUAUAUUCAGGAUGUUCUUUCCACAUGUGUCCCAAUAGAGAAUGGUUCUCCACAUACAAUUCGGUUGAAGGUGGAGUUGUGCGCAUGAGAAAUGAUUCAUCUAGUAAGGUAAUUGGUAUUGGUACUGUUAAAAUUAGGAUACAUGAUGGGACAAUUAGGACACUCUCAGAUGUCAGGUAUGUACCUGAUUUACGAAAGAAUCUCAUCUCCAUGAGUAUUUUAGACUUGAAAGGAUGCAGAAUCAACAUCGAGUCGAGCGACAUUAAAGUAUCUCGUGGAGCUCUUGUUUUGUUAAAAGAUAAAAGAACCGGCAGCCUUUACAUUCUAGAAGAUUCUACAGUGACCGGUGAAAUCGAACGUUCCUUGUCCGUUACGGAGUCGAAGUCGAAGUCAACUCGUUUGGAGCAGAGACAACUUGGUCAUAGGAGGGAAAAAUGUAUGAUCGUUUCAUUGAAGAGAGGUUCUUUUUUGGAUGCAUGUUUUGAAAAGUUAGGGCACUGUGUUCGUGAAAAUCAGACUCAGGUUAAUUUUAAUUUAGCAGUGUACAAGUCGAAUGCUAGAAGUCUUCCAAUUUCUAAGCACAAAUUCGACUCAAUUACUUCCCCGCAUAGUUCAAGAUAGGCCCAUAGCGGGACUUUGGCAAAGAUGGCAUUGUGGAAAUAUGAGUCAAGGUGGAGAUUUGUUGAGUAUGACUCCUAUUUCAGUCAAAUUUGAGAAAUAAUCUUUCAGUUAAACUCUGUUUAUUUGUUUCAAUCAACUCUGAUUAGUCUAGAUUAUUUUGUUACUAUUUGACCUAUGAAUUUAGCCUAUAAAUAGGCUCUUUUAAAACUUUAAAAAAUACACUCAUUAGAGAUUAGAACUCAUAACACAUUUAGAGAAUUUUAUGUUUAUGCUUUGAGGGUUCUUUAUUUUCGGGGUUUAGUUUUUAUCUUCAUAUUUUGUACUCUUCAUUCUUUUAUCAUUAUAGUAAAAUUAUCUUUACCCGUGGUUUUUUAUCCUCUUUGGAGGGGUUUUUCCACGUUAAAUUUAUAUGUUCAAUUUCUCAAUUUCUUCCGUUAUAUUUACUUGUUUGCUGCUUAAUCGGGUCGAUUCUCAACACAAACCAAGAUUGAAUACAUUGCCAAAUUUUCAUAUUUUGCAUAUGUUCAAAUUUGAGAGUCGUAUUAGAAUCAAACCAUACUAAUCUGAUUCCAACAAUAGUAUCAGAGUUUCGUUUGGCAUAUUUUUAUUUGUCUUGCUUUUGAUUUAUUGUUGAAAUUGAAAUCUUUUCAUAAUUGGGAAAUUUUUUUGUCUAAACUGAUUGGAAUGAAAAUGUUUUGGUUUUGCGUAUAAGUUGAUUUCUAAUUUUUCUGUAUUUAUCUACAAUAUUUUUCUGUGUAGUAAAUUUUCUUUUCUUUUUCUUUUUGCAAUCUUAACUCUUUAAUUGAAUUAAAUAAGGAAAAUAGUGCUCAAUUUGGAUCCGUUUAGCAUCCAAAACCCGAUUUUGAAGUUAGACUACAGAAUUUGGAAAAUAGCAAUUUUUCAAUUUUGCGUAAUAGUUGAUUUUUUUUAUGUAUUUAUAUACAAUAUUUUUAUGUAAAAAAUAUUUUUUUGCAAUCUUAACUCGCUAAUUGAACCAUGGAAAAAAAACGACGCUCGAUUUGGAUCAAUUUAGGGGUCAAAAUCAACUUUUGAAGUCAAACUACUAAAUUUGAAAAGCAACAGUUUUGUGCGCUUUUGGGGUUGUUUUGGGUUGUUCUUGGUACCAAUAAAUUAGGAAUCAUUCCUAAAUUAUUCACAUAUGAUAUGGGCAAGAUGGUAGUUCAAGAUUGGCAUGAAAAAUCGAGGUAAAUUGCAGCAAGAAUUGCUACACGAUUUGUUGAGUCACUCAAGACUUCCCUUCUAUUUAAGGCGUGAGUCAUGCUAAAAUGGGUCUUACUCAAUUAAAGUCGUGUUGUUCGGAUGCUUAAAGACUUGACCAUGUGAUUUUAGAGUCAAAAGUUAGGCAAAGCACAUAUGAUGUGCUUAGAUAAGAAGUUACCUCCUAACUAAUUUGGGAGUUGUAUUGGAUGCAAUAGGUAAGUUAUGUUACCUACCCAAAUAGGCUUGUUGCAAUUUGUUGAUCCACUUAAGGUUUUAACAUGUUGAAAGGGGUCUUAGCCCAUUAGAAGUACCUAGAAUAGACCCCCAUAUAAUAGUAAGGGCUAUUAUUACAAAAAGUUAGUGGGAGUACUAAUUUAAAGAUUUAAUAUCUUAUCUUAAAUACGAUCAAAUAUUGAUUAUCAUUUUUCCAUAAUUAGGUUGUUGUGUGAUGUUAAAUAAGUUUCUUAUUAUUCUACAAUAUUUGUUAAGUCAAAAAUGUUGGUAGCGUACAAUAGCCACCAAAAUUGUUUUGUUUAGUUUUUAUUUUAUUUUUUUAAUAAAAUUUCUCUUUUGAUUAUUUUUCUUUUAUUUUAUUGUUCUUCAAUUUAUGAUUAGUUAGAUUUAUUCUAACUUUAGGCCGAUUUUUAAUCUGAUGUUUCAACUAUAAGGCUUCAAAAUUUCACAUAUAUUCUUAAGUUUAGUAUUCGUUAAUUAUUUGGUUUAAGAGAUAGACUCAAUCGUCUCACAAUGUUGUUUUAACAUCAAAUCGAGAAGGGCGCCUCUCGUUCAGUGUUGGACAGCAUACAGUUGGUGAAUGCAUAUGAUCUAUAAUUGUUGUAUUCGGUUCACUAAAGAACAAAUUGAUGUAGCCAAUUGAGUGAGGGGUUGGAUUCGUCAAGGGAGUUAAAGAUCAAGUCUAAAUGACAUGUGCAGUUGAGGCCGUUGAUUUGAGUCGAGCUCUUCUAGUUAGCAAGGCUGUUAAUGAGCUAAAUCGUAGAAGUUGAUUUUAGGGUUGUUCACUUGGUAAGAGUUAACUGUCGGGUUGUUCACACAAUUAAUUUACCACCAUGGAAGAAUUAAAAGAUUUGAGGUUCAUGCUUAAUCUUUAUAACCUACUUAUUGAUUGGAGGAGAAAAUUUAUUGUCCAGGAUCAAUUCGAAGCCGAAGUGAAAAUUGAGUCUAGAGCUAGAGUUUUCAUUUUAUUGGUUUAUUCAAUUUUAAUUUUGUUUUAUUUAUUUCUGCUUCAUCUUUAUUCCUAUUUAGUUUUUGUUAUUUAUUUAUUUUUUAGAUUUAAUCGCCCCUUUGUUUUUUGUAUUGGUUAAUGAUAGUUGUGGGCACAAAAAUUGUCAACAACAUGUUUUGAUUAUAAAAAAAAUACAGAUUCGGAUAAACCAGUCUUAAUGAGAUCGACUCUACUCCCUUUACUGCAAAUUUAAUUAAGGUUUUAGGAGUAAGAAUUUAUUUUUGGUGGAUUCGACACUCAUUAGUGGAGCAUUACAAGUUUGUUUAAAGUGUCAAACCACUAAUGUUAAAAUCUCCAACUACUUCUCUACUGACUUGACUUAGUUUUCAACCAUAAUUUAGACUUAUAAGCUUGCCUCCUUACGUAGUCAUAUGAAAAAACUUAGUUACCCUUUAACAAUUCAAUUAAAACAAGAUUUUUGGAACUAGAAUAAUUGUUCUUGUUCUAAAAGAGCAUAUAAUUCCUUUAGAAUACUAAGUUGCAUAUCUUAAUUGUCUUGGGAAGUUAUGUUAUCCUAUACAUCUUGCAAGUCAUUCUUAAGUCGAAUACGUCUUUUUGUUAGAUUCCAAAGGUAGACCAAUUUCAGUCAAUCAAUUUACAUAACAAUCAACGGUGUUGUAAAAUUCAGUUUUGUACUGAAUUAAUUGAGUAAAGUUAGUUAAUAAUUUAAAAUGGAAUAAAUAUGAGUUAAGUGCAAAUUGGAAAGGUCGAGCUAAUAAGUGUUAUUGAAUUAAACUGGUUAUUAAAGAUAGUAUAGAGAUUGCAUUGUAAAAAGAUAACCAUUAUUAAGAUUUAAAUUUAAAAACUGAAGAGGUAGGAAAUUAACCUGAGGCUAUAAAAGAAUUUUAGCCAUUUUUAAUGUUAUGAAAAUGAUUAAUGAAAAGUUGAGCCAUCACAUUCCACUAAUUAAAAUUUAGAUAGUUAAACUUUAGAUUAGUAGCUAAUUAACUUAAUUAGUUUGUUAAUUAUUAUAUAUAUAAAGUAAGUGGGGGAGAGAAAAUAUCAUUUCCACCAUAUUCUUUUCUCACAUCGUCCACUAGAAAAGAAAGAAAAACAAAACAUUUCCUCCAUUCCUUCAUUGAUGUAACUUCAAUUGGGUAGAUAGAUGAGUUUUAACUUUAAUUUUAAUUGAAUUAUUAAUGAUUGAUAUUGGAUAAUGUAAGCCCAAGUGAUAAAAUUAAGAAUUAAUAAGCUUUGGUAUAGUUUUAUUGUUGGGAAAAUUUAAGAACUCUUCAUGUUAAUAGUUUAUAUUCAUGCAUGUUAGUAGUAGUUAAGAUUAUAAUUAUUUACGUUGAAAUUUUGGUGAAAAGUAUUGAAAUAGGUUAGAAUUAGUAAAGAUUAUAUAAUUAAGUUAUGCGUAAGUAAGGACCUAGUUGUAAGAAACGAAAACUUGAAGUUUGAUAAUAAAUAAUGGUUAUAAGAAGUCCAUGUACUAUAUUUAUUAAGUCGAGUUUAAAUUUGACCAGGUAAAUUAUGGGUUAUGUGUGUUCUGGAUAUUAGAGUUUUGGGGACUAAAUUGAAUAAAUUGCCUUCAUGAAUACAAUGUGUUGAAUCGUGUUUGAAUUGUAUGAUUAAUGAAUUUUGUAUAUCUAAAUUUAUUGUACGUGGCUAAAGAUGACGUCGGGACGUCAGAAAGCAAAGGGAAAGGCAAAGCUGUUGACAAAUAGCUAAUCCAGUUUGUGCUCUCAUUAGGGGUGUGCAAAUUUCGGGUAAAAUCGAAUUAAUUCAGUUAAUCGGUCGGUUAACCGAAUUAAUUCGGUCGAGGGUCGAUUAAUAAUUUUUUGAAAGUUUGAUUAACGGUUAAUUCAAUUCGAAAUCGUUCGGCUAAUCGAAUUAACCGAAUUUAAUAAAUAAUAUUAUAAUAUAUAAGUAUUCGGUCGGUUUGGUUAAUUUUUUGGAAAUAUAAAUUAAUCGGUCAGUUAAGUAAGUUAUUUUUAUAUGUUUUAUACUUAUUUUAACAAAAAAUAAAAAAAUAUAUAAAUUUCGGUUAAUUCGGUUAACCGACCGAAUUAACCGAAAAAGUUCGAUUCGGUUAAUUUUUUUUGAAAAUUUUUUGAUUCGGUUAACGGUUAAUCGGUCGGUUAAUUCGGUUAAAGGUAGUUCAGGUUGGUUAACCAAUUGAACACCCCUAGCUCUCAUGAUUCGAGUUCGUUAAAUAAAUAUAUGUAUAUGUUUGAUUUGUUAAAUGUUCGAAAAUAGUAAUCUAACAAUAUGAUAUAUUCAGAAGGUAUGCUUUUACUUGAUUAUGUGAGUUGUAAUAAUUUGGUUGGUUGAAUACAUGAAUAUAUGCUUAUUGAUGAAAUAUGAUUAAUUGUAAUGAUAUUUGUCCUAUUAACGUUGUUGGAUAGAGUUAUGGGUAUAGUUGGCAUGCCAUAGAGUUCAUUUUGAUAGGUGGAAGAUUUAACACUAUAUGCGUACAUAUCGUGUAAUAGCCCGAUUUCUAGUGAUGUCAAAAAUAGUGGUUCGAGAGCACCAAAUCCGACAAGUGAGCUCAUAUAUUUUAUUAUUUAUUGUUUAUGAGCCAAAUGUGAUUUUAGGAAGACAUUUGAAUUAGUGAAUUGUGUUUUAAAAGAUUUAUUAGGUUAAUUGGUUUCGAAAACGAGGUAUUGAGACCUCGAUUUCAUAAACUGAGCCAUGAAUAUUUUUAUAAAUAUUUACGGAGUGUCAUUAAGUUAGUAUUAAAGUUUCGUUAGAAAAUUUUAACGUUUUGAUGGUUAAUUAAGUAAAAAUGACUAAAUUGAAAAAGGUGUAAAACUUGACAAUUGAAGAAAUAGUGAUUAAAUGGUUUAAUUAAUGAACAAAGGAGGACUUAUGGAGCAAUUAUUCCUAAAUUAAAAGAGUGAAACGGCACAAGCAGAGAAUUAAUAAAAUAAAGUGAAAUAAGGGUAAAAUUGUAAAUUUCAUGAAAUUAACUUAAAUAAAUUGAAUUCUAAAGAUUUCUAGGCUAUUAUUCCUCAAUUUCUCAGCCAAAAACACCAUAGGAGAAGGUUUUAAGAUGGUUUUAUUUAUUUUUACUUCAUGUAAGUCUAAUUCUUGCUCUUUUCUUGACAUUUUUGUGUUUUUAAGACUUUUACAAUUAGGUCCAACUAUCUAUUUCAUUAGUUUUUGAUUCUAUGGGUAAUUUUUAAAGUUACCAUUGAUGAGUGCUGGAUGUUUAUGAUGAAUUAACAUGGAUUUAGAGCUUUAAUUUUAUUAUAUGAUUAUUUUAUCAAGUGAUUUCAAUAGAAAUUGAUUUUAGGACCAAAUUGUGAAAAGAUUAAAUAUUAGGGUUUAAUACUAAAAUUAUAUUGAUCAAAGGCUGUGUGGUAGCUUGUAAUAAUUAGAUAAAUUUUCAAUUAAGAAAAAUUAACUUAUUUGAUAGACUAAAUGGUGAAGGACUAAAUUGAAAAAAUUGUAAAAGUUAGAGUAAUUGUGUAAUUUCAAAAAUUAAAGGGUAUUAAUUGUGAAGUGAAUGAGAAUUGAAAUAUAUGCUAAUGAAUGAAUAAUUUUAUAUUUUAGAUCAAGAGCUUGUAGAUAAUCGUGAAAAGGGAAAUUAGCAGAAUAGUCUCUGAACUACUACAAAUUCUACAAUUUAACCUAGGUAAGUUCGUAUGGUGAAAAUUUAAUGUUAUGUGUUAAGUUUAUGAAUGAUAUUAUGUAUUAAUUCAUAUCAUUUGUUGAAAAUUAAAUUAUUAUUAAAUUAUGAAAUUGAAUUGAAUGUCUGAAGUGAACGGAAUGCGGGAUUGAGUACAAUCGUUUAGUGCAAAGGAGGAAUUGACGGAAAAUUACCCAAGUAAACCGAGGUUCAACAUUUGUUGCGAACUUUUGUGUUUAGUCUCCGUUUAGCUCUCAUGAGCUUUAGUUAACUCAUAUGAGUUUCUGUUUAACCCUAUUGGUUUUCAGUUAAGCUCUUAUGAGCUUCUGUUCAACCCUUACAGGUUUCCGUUUAGCACUUAUGUGCUUCUGUGUAGCCUUCGGCUUCUAUAUACAAUGUACUCAUAUCCGUAAGACGUUCUCUGAUUUGACAAGGGUUGUUAAGUGACAUAUGAAAUUAAUGUUUGAAGACUUAAAGUUAUUAUUGAUAUUGAUAUGAAAUAAGUGAAUUCAUCAAUUGAAGUUGUGAUUGGUAGGAAAUGUAUAUUGAAUGUUUUAUUUAAAUGAAUUGUUAUAGUAUGUUUGGUAAGCUUUAUGUUUAAAACGAACUUACUAAGCUUCAAUAAGCUUACUUGUGUUGUUUAAUGUUCUCUGUAGAUUUUCGAGAAGUUGGGAGACCAGAACAAAACAUCGAAUCACGCUAUCAAACUUGUUCUGGUAGAUUUUGCAAUACAUAUUAUGGUUUAUAUAGCAUGUAUAGGGGUUGAAAUGGUUAUGUAAAUGUCAAGAAUUACAUUUUGUUUAUGUUCAAAUUAACUCAUAUAUGAAUGGUUCUAACAUGUUUGGUAUAGUAUUAGUGUGGUUAAUGGAUGGAUAGUUCCUAGGCUUAGUGAUGAAUAAAUUGGUAAAACAUGUUGAUAUAGGUAGUUGCAUGUGUGAAUUGUUUUAUAUUCUAAUUAGAAUGUUAGAAUAUAUGUGAUAAUAUGAUCAUAUUACAUAUAGGAAUUGGUUGUUUUAGAGAUCUUGUUAUGGCCUAUAUGUAUGAAAUUUGAGGUGUGUAGGUUGAAGUCAAGAAUGGGUGAGAAAAGAGGCCAUAAAAUGACAUAUUUUCGUCCAUACGGGUAGAGACACGGGUGUCUGUCUCAGCCGUGUGUGACACACGGCCUAGCACAUAGGCAUGUGGUCUAGCCGUGUGUCCCUUGCAUAUUAAAAUUUCGAAACAGAAUGCCCAGGUUUUUGCAUGCGGUCUAGCACACGGGCGUGUGGCUUGGCCAUGUGACCCCUGCACCUUACACACGGCUUAGCACAUGGUGGUGUGGUUGGCCGUGUGACCCAAGUCAGAGAGUUACAUAGGUAUAGACACGGGCUGGGACACAGUCGUGUGCUUCACAUUAAAUGCCCUCACAGCCUACGACACGGGCGUGUGUCCCUUGCUCCUAAGAAAAUUUUUGAAAAUUUGGGAAAAAUUUUCUGAGUUUCUGGUUAAGUCCUGAUUUAUUUCAAAUGCAUAUUUUUGGCCUCAAAGGCUCAUAAAAGGGACAAUAUGAGUAAUUUAUGAUUGGUUUCGAAUAUGUUUAUUAAAUAUUGUGAAAUGUUUGUAUUUAAUCCUUAAAGUCCUAAUGCUCUGUAACCUUGUUCCGGCAACGGAUAAGGGUUAGGAGUGUUACAUAUCGUAAUAGUUCUCUAAUACCUUGACGGUCAAGAACGUAUCACUAGCUCAAACACCCUGGGGUACAAGUGCAUUCUAGUGUGGUUGGUGGGGUUGGUGGACUUAUGUCCAAUUAGAACUUCGAUGCGUAUUUAGUGUGAUGGUGAAUUGAUCCGAGCAUUCGUUCUUGUAUCUGAAUUUGUUAAUAGGGGUUAAAAAUGUAAUAUUUCUUAUUGUAUACAUGUGUAGCUUAAUUGAGAUAAAAAUGUUGAAUUGUUACAUUAUUUGAUAUGUUAAAUUAGAUACAAAUACCUUAAGGGUGCAUUAAAAACUAUAUCGAGUAGUUCAGUAAGGCAUUGAUGUGAUUCAGUUGAAAUAAUAAACGACUUAUUGGUAUAUACAUAUCUUUGGUAUUAACAUGAAUUGGGUUUGUUGGUUAAUUUGGAUUAUUAUGUUACUUAUGUUGUUUAAAUCUUGUUAUGUUUGUAAUUGAAUUCUAGUUAUAUUACCAUCACUAAGUAACCAUUACUCAAUAUACAGGUUUGUUUGUUUCCGUGCACAGGUCUCGGAUAAAGCUAAAUAAAAUUCGUGGUCAAGCACCCAACUCUUUAGCUCAGCUUGGAAGCCAUUACAUCUCAUUUUGUAUGUAUAUAUAUGUUCAAAGUCAUAUGACAUGUACCUAGACUAGUUAGCUUGUAGCUUAAGUUAAAUUUGACACUUUUGGUAAGUGACCUAUAAAGUUAUAUAAGUUGAAUUUUUAUCUUUUGAUUACUAGAUAAUUAUGCUUAAUUGUGUGAGUUUGAAUGUGCAAAUUGGUUGGUUUAGUAAUGAUGUAUUGAAGGUUAUAAUUUGGCAAUAUUUGAACAUGUUUAGAUAGUUUAAUUGUAUGAAUAUGUUUUGCGAUACAUUUGAGGUAUGUUUAGGUUCAUUUGGUUAAGGCUUUGGACACCUAAAAGUGUAGGAUUUUGACCAUUUAGUCACUAAGUCUCGAGACAGAAAGAACAUGUCUCAAGAUUGCUAGAACAAAUUUCAUUUAAAUUUUGUAUUCAAGGGCCUAAGGUCUCGAGACAAGUGGUCUUUGUCUCGAGACAGAAGAACAUUGAAGCUUAAUUGAUUUUUGCCUUGUUCGAGUUCUCGAGACAUUCAAACAUCAAAGUAAAAAUGGGAAAAUAGGGGAGGUUGGUCUCGAGACAUAAAAGGACCUUGCCUCGAGACACAUGUAGUUUCUCAAGACAUGCUAACUUUGAAGUUAAAGUUCCAAAAUAAUUUGUAAUGGCCCAAAUUCAAGGUUAUCGGAAUAGUGGUUUCGUAACCACAAAUCCGAUUUAAAGAGAAAUUUAUUUUAAUAGUUUUUGCAUGAAUAUUGAUAUGAUAGGAAAAUCGUAUGAAAAUAUAGAUAGAAGAAUUUUACCGAUUUAGUGGUUAGUUAGAAAAAGAAAUUAUUGAAGAAAUUGGAUAAAAACAAAGUAUCGAGACCUCGAUCUCGUAAAUUCAAGUCAAAAAUAUUUUUAUAAAUAUUUAUGAAGUGUUAGUAAUAUGGUAUUAAAAUUUCGUUAGAAAAUUUUAAUGUUUGGGUAGUCAAUUAAGUGAAAAGGACUAAAUUCAAAAGGGUGUAAAAGUUACUAGAAGGAUUAAAUAGCUCAAUUGUUAAAUGAGGAGGGACAUAAAUUGCGAAUANNNNNNNNNNNNNNNNNNNNNNNNNNNNNNNNNNNNNNNNNNNNNNNNNNNNNNNNNNNNNNNNNNNNNNNNNNNNNNNNNNNNNNNNNNNNNNNNNNNNNNNNNNNNNNNNNNNNNNNNNNNNNNNNNNNNNNNNNNNNNNNNNNNNNNNNNNNNNNNNNNNNNNNNNNNNNNNNNNNNNNNNNNNNNNNNNNNNNNNNNNNNNNNNNNNNNNNNNNNNNNNNNNNNNNNNNNNNNNNNNNNNNNNNNNNNNNNNNNNNNNNNNNNNNNNNNNNNNNNNNNNNNNAUUAGUUUUUGAUUUUAUGAAUGAAUUUGAAAGUUUCUAUGAAUAUGUGCUGGAAGUUUAUGAUGAAAUAGGAUGAAAUUUAAGCUUUAAUUUGUUUAUGAGAUGAUUUUAUUAGGUAAUUUCAAUAGAAAUUGAUUUGUAGGACUUAAUUGUGAAAAAGUUGGAAUUAAAGUCUAGUGCUAAAAUUCUGAUUUCCAAAGGUUAUAAAGUACUUUAAAGUGAUAGAAUAAAGUUUUGGUUGAGAAAAAUCAGCUCAAUUGAGAGGUUAAUUGAGCAGGGAUGGAAUUAUCAUUUAUUGAAAGCUUAGGGAAAGAAUGGUAAUUAACAUUAUGCACUAAAACAAUUUUGAACAGCAGCAGUAGUCUAACUUUGAAAAAUCACCAAAAAUUGUAGAGAUAGAAUUAGAGGAUGAAUAAAAUAUGAAAUUAAAACUUAUUGAGUCUAAUUUCUUAUAAAAGAAACGGUGUAAGCAAUGGAAUUGUAAAUCAUGAGAUAUAAUAGAUUUUAUGAGACAAGGUCAGAAUGAAUUCGGGUUCCCCUGUUCUGACUUUGGAAAAUCAUUAAAAAUUGUACAAAAAUGAUUAUGAGUUAUAAUUUACAUGGUUAUAAUACUUAAUGAGUCUAUUUUCAGAAGAAACAAAUGGAAACAUCAUCCGAAUUCUGAUAAUUAAUUUUUAGUGAAGAGAGGUCGGAACUGUCGAACAGUGAAAUAGGGGAAACUUUAAAGAAUAAACUGUACUUAUUGGCUAAACCAAAAAUUCUAAAAAUUUUAUGGUAAGAAUAUAUGUGAGUCUAGUUUCAGGAAAAAUUAGCGGAUAUUAAUUUGGAGUUCCGUAGCUCAAGAUAUAAAUAAUUUAGUGACUGUGACUCAGUGAGACAGCUUUGAAUGCACUACAAAUAACAAUGGAAUUAUAGAGAAUGUUACAUAUGAACAUGAAAAGUAUUAGAUUAAUGAUUAAAUUUAUUUAUUUAGAUCUAGAAAAUUCAAAUACAAAGCAAGAUCGAGGAAAAGAAAAAGUUCAGGAUUAGUAGAUUUUUGGUUACGAACAAGUGUCGAGGUAAGUUCGUGUAACUUGAAUUAUAUUCUUAAAUGCUUGAAAUAUAUUUUUCUUGAUGUGAAUAUAAUUUAGAUGUUUAUUGUAUGAUAAUUUAUGAAGUAUUGAUAUUCUUGAUGAAAAGAGAAAAUAAAUCUCAGUUGAAUGAAAGGAAAAUUCGAUGGAUCUCUGAAAAGGAAUUGACGGUAAAAAGGAUCUAGCCCGGACGAGUGAUCCUAUCCUGAUAUAGCCCUCCCGAAGAAUAUGUGGAAAAUGGAUUUAGCCUGGACGGGUAAUCCGAAUUAGGGUCUGAAUUUAGCCUGGACUGGUAAUUCAGAUCCAAGCUCAUUAGAGUAAUUGUCAUUGCAGGGGAUUUAGCCUGGACUGGUAAUCCCGACAAUACUCUAUGAGUUUAUAUUACAGGGGAUUUAGCUUGGACUGGUAAUCCCGCUGUAAGGAUGAGGUUCGCGGGAGUGUGCUCUCUAAAAUGGAAAUGUGCGCACAUGAAUAUGAAUUGACGGACCCGAAUUUGAACACUAAAGUGUACCUCUGAAAAUCCAUCGAAAUUCUGAGAAAUUCAACGGGAUAAAUAUGGAAAAAUAACAAGGGAAUGAAAAAUAUGGAAUUGAUGAGCUCAUCAAUCAUUUGUCUUUGUAAUGAAUUUAUAUGAUGUUUACUUAACUAUUGCAAAAGUUGAGUUUGUAUGUGAUAGGUAUAUGUUUAUGGGAAUUGGAUGUGUGCUUGCGUUAUUAAAUGAUAGGUGUAUAAUAUGGUAAGUAUAAUUCUUGUUGCAUGAACUUACUAAGCACAAUGUGCUUACCCCGUUCUUUUUUCUCUAUUUUGUAGUACUCGGGAGCUCGAAGGUUGGAGAUUUAGUCGGAGCUUUAUCACACUAUCAACCCAUAUCUUUUGGUAUUUGAAAAUGACUUAUUUUGAAAGAAUGACAUGAAUAGACUAAAUACCAAUAUUACAUAGAAAUGAAUGUUUGUAACUUAGCUGUUGGUAUGGCUAGAGUAAGUAUAACUUUGAGAUCUUGCGAAAAAUUUCUUAUGGCUUCGAUUUAAUAUCAGUUUAGUCCCGAUGUAUGAUUCAAUAAAUGAAUAGUAAUUAAACUCGUAAUAACAGAAAAAUUAAUUCAGUAAAAUCUGGUAAUGCCUCGUAUCUUAUUCCGGCGACGAAAACGGGUAGGGGGUAUUACAUAAUUUAUGACCUAUCUAUAGACAUGGAGACCCCUAUCUCGAGACAAUAAAUUUGAAACUUAACUUUUCAGUUUUGAUUCGAGUUAAUCUAACCCCGUAAAUUGUUGAAAUAAAAUCUAUCAGUGUAUAAAAGCAUGUAAAAGGAUUAUUUUGUUGAAUGAAUUAAAUGUACUUGUAUUAUAAUAGCCUGAGUUGCUUUGGCGAUGCAAUCACAUUCAGAUCUGGCGAUUAGGUUAAGUGUAGGGUGUUACAAUUUAUCUCUUGUGAUUUUAAGUUUCCGAAUUAGGGAAUAGGGUGGAAACUUAAACAAUUAGUUUUCCAUGACUGAGUAACAAUGUCGCUACAUUACGAGUGAAUGGCCCACAUCAUUUCAAAUCUAUAACGCCUUUGGUAAAAAAUUCAUUAUAUAAUCUGUAUGUAACACCAUAGGCCUAUUAUAACACCCUACAACUAACCCAAAAGACAACCAAAUGUAAAGCACUACAUAUGUUCUCAAAGCAACUCGAAACGAACACAUACACAUUCAAAAAAUUUGAAAUUCCAAUGUUAAACAUAUCCAUUGAGGAAACGAAUAAUUAAAAGUCAUUUCAAGUGUUAAAACGAAGUCAAAUGAACCUGCAUAUAGUAAUCUAGGAUAGAAAAUGAUCAAACAUGAAGCCAAGUUACGUUUCAUGGGUCAAAAUUUCAAAAUAUAGGGUUAUAUCUCGAGACAAACAGACAAACCAUAUCUUGAGACAUGCCUCCUUAUUCCAGACUUCAGUUUCAAUGUUUUAUGUUUUGAGACAUUGCCCCUCAAGUCUCAAGACUCGAUUUUGAUGUUUUCAGUCUUGAGACAAUGGAACCAUGUCUCAAGAUAAGGCACCUUAUAUGUCAAAACAUGUUUGAUAUGUAGAAAGUUAACCUUUCAAGUCAUACAAACACAAUUCUAAAUGGUUCUAAUCAUUCCCAUCAUGCAACCAAAGUUAUACAAGCAAUAUUGACAUACUAAAACAAGUCUAAAACAUAAAAUUUCAUGAUUAAUAACACGCUAAAUCAAAAUAUAACAAGUAAAAUGAAAGGUGUAACAAUCGAUAUUUGUAACACCCCUAACCCGUAUACGUCGCCGUAUUAAGGUUACGAGGCAUUACCGAACAAACACAACCAUUUUUUUUCCACACCAAUUCUUAAUACAAAACAUACAUAUCCGUCAAUUCAAUAUCAUAGCACAACCGAAACUCAUCCCUUAACCAAUUUACAGCAUAAACACCACUUCAAAUUAAGGUUAGAUCAUGAUCAAAUAUACAUUAUGUUCUUUCAUACUCUUUAGCCGAAUUGUUUAAUAAAAACUUACAAGCAUUUUUACUAUGUUUUAAACUUACUAAUACAAACUAAUUCAUAAUUUAUUCAUGAUGUAACCAAUCAAGAAAUAUAAUCAAGUUAUCAAUCAUACUAAUUAUCAUUUAUACAAAUAGACUUAUACCAUGGUCGAAUCAUUUAAAUCAAUCACAUUGAACAUUCAACCUAGAAUAUAUAAAACUAAGUUUAAACAUAAUGAUCAAGCCAUUUUUAACUAAACCGAAUUUAAGCAUAGGAAAUAGACCAUUAAAACAUAUUUGUUAAUACCAAAUUCAAAACGAAAAGAGAUAAGCCAUUUUCGCAUGGCUCAUAUUCACAUAUCCCAAAAAUUUAAACAUAUUAACUAGACUAUACAUGCCAUAGGUUCGAGUUCAAAAUAUAUAAAAUACCAAAGACGGUCGAUAGUGUGAUAGAUUAUGCUGAUGAUCCCCAAGCUCGUAACGCGUCUCAAAAUCUAUAGAUAGAUAGACAAGAUACCAAAGUAGCUUUAUAGCUAGUAAGUCUNNNNNNNNNNNNNNNNNNNNNNNNNNNNNNNNNNNNNNNNNNNNNNNNNNNNNNNNNNNNNNNNNNNNNNNNNNNNNNNNNNNNNNNNNNNNNNNNNNNNNNNNNNNNNNNNNNNNNNNNNNCUAAAAGAAUGUAUAUUUAACUAAUAUACAUAAACGGACAAAGGUAUAUACAUUAUAUGCAUAAAAUCAAAUUACUAACAUAAUCAUUAUCUGCAUAUACAGAUUUCUAGAGUACUUGUUGUUCGUACUUCAUCGGAUCCAUUUAUAUAUAAUUGUUCAAUUACAUAUACCAAAAGCAUAAUUUUUAUACUUAUAAACUAUAAAGGCCGAAUGCACAUAUUCACUUAUACCCACCUAUGCCGAAUGCAUACAUAUAUACACUUAUAUCUACCUAUGCCGAAUGCAUACAAAUAUAUAUCCACCUAUGCCGAAUGCCUACAUAUGCACNNNNNNNNNNNNNNNNNNNNNNNNNNNNNNNNNNNNNNNNNNNNNNNNNNNNNNNNNNNNNNNNNNNNNNNNNNNNNNNNNNNNNNNNNNNNNNNNNNNNNNNNNNNNNNNNNNNNNNNNNNNNNNNNNNNNNNNNNNNNNNNNNNNNNNNNNNNNNNNNNNNNNNNNNNNNNNNNNNNNNNNNNNNNNNNNNNNNNNNNNNNNNNNNNNNNNNNNNNNNNNNNNNNNNNNNNNNNNNNNNNNNNNNNNNNNNNNNNNNNNNNNNNNNNNNNNNNNNNNNNNNNNNNNNNNNNNNNNNNNNNNNNNNNNNNNNNNNNNNNNNNNNNNNUUCGCACAUUAUAUAAUCACAACCAUAACAUUUGAACUUUUAAUUGAAUCCAAAAAUUUAUACUUUUAUAUACAUACCUAUUCGAACAUCACAUGUAUAUGUAUGAAAUUCACACAUCAACUAACAUAAAUUUUAUACUUGUAAUUAUAACUCAUUAAUUAUAAAAUAAAUAUACUUAUAUAUAUAUUGAUUUGAUAACAUGAAUUUUUGCUAACAGACUUACCUCGGACAGUGAAAAAUUGAAAUCGGAUAAUUAGUCGACGAUUUUGGUUUUUCCCCGAUCUAGCUCCGAUUUCUUUGGUUCUUGAUCUAAACAUAUUCAAAAUGAGCUAGUUUAAAUAUUAUCAACUUCAAUUUAAUCCAAAAACACAUAAAUGGAAAAUUACAAAUUUGCCCCUAACAUUUUACAUUUUUCACAAUUUAGUCCGAAUUACACAAAACACAAAACAUUCAAAUUUUGACUAUACUAUGGUUAGGCCGAAACUUCAUUAUACUCAUACAAGUCCAUGCAUUUCAUUUAUUUCGUAUUUUAGUCCCUCAAAAAUUUAUUUUCACAAUUUAGCCCUAAAUACUCAAAUUCAUCAAAAAUCCCAAGACAAAACAUGUUAAUCUAACACAUAUAUUUCAUAUUUCAUCAACUAACAUCAUAAAACUCAAACAUCCAUCAAUGACACAUUUCAAAAUCAUCAUCAAUUCACAAAAUUUAAGCAUGGGUUUUGAAGAACACAAAACAACGAUAUCAAAAACGUAAAAAUUAUCAAAAACCGAACAAAGAACUAACCUUAAUUAAAAUUUAAAAUGGCCGAUGUAGCUAGGUCUUCUUUCUUUUUCUUUUGUUUAGUUUCGGUCAUAAAGAUGAAGAAGAAAUAAAAUAAAAUGAUGAUGGCUUAUAAUAUUUUUAUUAUAACAUAAUAAUAUAAUAUACAUAAUUAUAACCUUUAUAAUUAAUAUUAAUAAUAUAAAAACUAUAUGCUAUCACUUAAUGCCGUCCACUAGCAUUUAAAUGAAUUAAUUGCCACAUAAGACCUCCAUAUUAAAAGAACAUCCACUAUUCAGCCCUUUUAAAAAUGACCACAAAAUUUUUUAUUUUACGCGAUUUAAUCUUUUUUUUAAUCGGACACUCAAACGACGAAAUUAAAUCAUGAAAUUUUCACACAAGUAAAUUCACACAUAAAAAUUAUAGAAAAUAAUAUUAAAAUAUUUUUAGGACUCGGAUUUGUGGCCCCGAAACCACUAUUCCGAUUAGGGUCAAAACCGGGUUGUUACAAUAUUGCAUGCUAGAAAAUCAUUCAUAAAAGUAUUAACAAUAGUGUUUACAAUUCCACUAAGUGACCAAAAAAACCCACUUAACAUCAUAUAACCAAAAACAAAGGCAAGUCCUAGACAUAAGACACUAAAACAAAAAAACAAAAAAAACUUAAGCUUAUGUACAUGCCAUUAUUUUCUAAAGGAAAAACAAAGUCUUUACAACCGAAGUAGAGUAGCUAAGCUUGACUUGAAAAAUCGUUGUCCAAGGUUAGAAAAUAUUCUCAGAUUCACCUGAAACCUCCAUACGGAACAAACAGCAGAACGCUUAACUUUCUAUUAAGCUCAGUAGUGCUAAACAACCUCCAAUAACACUUUAUUUGCCACAUAAGUCAAAGCAUACUAAAAUGCAACACAAAUUGUCCUCAAAACAUUGCAACAUGCUUUCAAAUAACAAUUAUAGCAUCAUUAGAAAUUCUCCAAUCAAUUCAUAGUAAAAAAUCACUAAGUACUAUCAUUACCAAGAAAAACUCCAGUUCUCAUGAACAAUGUUAUAUCCAUUUUCAUAACUAGGCAGCAUUUACCACAUUAAACUUUGUUAAAUUAUAGCCCUUAUUGUGUAACAUGACUUCUGACCAAACACACCUUCAAUGUGCAAUGCAUCAGAGUAUACCUUCCAAGCACACAAAUGUAAACAUAUGUUCACUUAAAAUACACACCAAAUCCUAGAUGCAUUAAGCAAACUUAACAAAAUACACAAUAUUAACGAAAUCCAUAACUGAUGAUAUGCCAACUGUAUCCAAACAUAUUCCAAAUAUGAUCACACAAAUAAUUAACAACUUUCAUAAAAGCCUAAGCAUUCAACUUAAGAUAGCUCAUUAAGCAAAAUUGAAAAUUAAAGAGCACAAAUCGAAACCAUCACGCUUCUGAAACCUUCCCUUUCUCUUUUAUCUUUAGAAUUUUCUCUCCAAUCUCUUUAACUUUAAAUUCAUAUCAAAACAAGUUAAUAAAACAUUACUCAACAAUUGAAACACCUAAUACUCACUUAAAAAUUAAUAAGAACUUAACUUGUUUUCGUUUUCUAAAACUCCAUGGUGGCAACUUUCAAGUACAUGCUUCAAACUCAAAUUAAACUUGAAAUUUUCUAAUCCCAAAUGAUUUUAAAUUUAAAAUAAUCAAGAAACCAACUUAAAAACUAUAAUAAUAAAAACACAGAAACUCUCUCUACCUUCAAAACUGUCAAAAAUGAAAAAAAAAAUUCUUUGAAAUCAAUAAAUUAAGUUUGGAAAUCAUUUUUACCUUAUUGAAAUCAAAAUUUUUUGAUCAAAAAGUUCAAAAGCUCAAAGAAUCCAAUCCCUCUCUUCUACAAUGGUUCACAAGAAAAUGAGAUAAAAGAGAAGAAAAUGGAAAAUCACAUAUUAAAAUUUGAAAUUUAGGAUGAGUUUUAAUAAAAUUAUUACCUUUAAACCUGAGUUGAUGAAAUUGAAUUGAAGUUUCUCGAAAGAGAUGAUAAAAUUUUGAGAAAAAAGAAUCAUCAUGAAAUAAAACUAACUCAAUCUUUCCCUCCUUGUUUAUUUUCAAAAAUGGAAAUUUUGCUCCCAUGCCCUUAGGCAAAUAACCUCAUAAGGACUCUCUUCCAUCUAAUUCUACUUUUUAAUUCUAAGAUUGACCCCACUAAUUUUAUCCAUCUUACAAUCUAGUCCAAAAGCCAAAAUUCUAUUUAACCACAUUCAUCUAAUUAAUGCAACUUAAUAACACUACUAACUAAUUUAAUGACCUGAAAAUCCAUCACCAUGCUCACUCCUGAAAGCCUCUUAGUUCUGCUUACCAAAAUGACUCAGGUUAGAAGUUCUGGUACACUAACGAAUUUUCUGUCAUGAUAGAUUUCAAGACGUUACAUUUAUGAUAUGAAACAUGAAAGAUCAAUUAAAAGCCACAUAUGAUCGAAGUUCCUGAUAGCAUUUUCAUUAUAGAACACUCUAUCAAUCUUUUCCUAGACAACGUCCUCUCCGUUUCAAUUAUUAGUCCAAAAAUAAUGUUGACCCUUUGAAAGGAAUUCAAUCAUGUUGCACAAACGUUAGUAAAAUAACAGUAAUAUAAACUAUUUAUUUAAACCAGAAGGUUGAACAAGAACAAUAUAUAAGCAUAUAUAUAAAAAAAAUUGGAAAAUAGAAAAUAAAAUUAGAUUAAAAUAUUAUAUUGGCAAUUGAGGCCUGUCUUAACAGUCUCCUUAUUUGGUGCCGAAGAAACGUUGGUCAACUGUCUCCCAGGAUACAACAAUAUGAGCAUGGCAGUAGCACAACUGCAGUGAUCAACAAACAAUAGCAUUGCCUUCAUCUAUCACUGGAAAACAAAUUGGAAAAUAAACGGAAAAUUUCAGUGUGUAUCUUUUCUUGAAGAUUAUUUGGUUUUAAAUAAAAAAUCAAAUGAAGAAGUUUUGGAAAUUGCUGUCUGAAUAUUUUGAGUCACCCACAUCAUGUAGGUACAGCCCCAACCUUGGUGGAUUUGGAUUUGCACCUCCUGCGUAUGAGGGAAAGCAUUAGUUCAAUUAUUCAAUAACUAUCAAGUCGCUUCACAUAUAUAAAUAUACUCCACACUUGAUAUCUAACCAAUGUGGGACUAAGCUUUCCAUUUUCCUCAACAUAAUUCACAAGUGGCUUACUUUUAGUAUCAAUUUCUCAUUCUUCACUCAACCAUUUUGAGCAUAUAAUAUACCGUUGUGAAGGUCUCGUGGAGUAGAAUAUAAAACCAUAAUUUUAUGAUUCAAAUCUCCACCUCUACUAAUCGAGAAUAUGCCUCAAAACUUCCAAGAAAUCUAUUUUUUCCAACAAAUCAUACCACACUUGUGGAUACCUUCAUAUAAUUUCUCAACCAUUGGUAAUUCUAAUGAUUUGAAUGAUAAUUUAUCUUCAAAAUUUAAUACCUAAUUAAAAUUACCUAACACAAUCCAAUUAUUAUGAUAUGACAUUAAAGAAGGGGAUUCAUAUAUAUUUUUCCUAUCCGUGCUCCUUUUGUGAACUAUUGGAUGUCCACGAAUACAAGAUAACUGGAAAAAAUCACAACCAUCAACAACAUACAACAAACCAAGUGUUUUUUUUUAUUACAACAUUAACUUUUAAAGGAGUCUUCUACAUGACGAAGAGACUUCACCUUUCCCUUUACAAUAUAACCCCUCAAAAGCAUGGAAACCCAACCUAUGAGCUAAGUUGAUGGACUUUUCAACAAAAGCACGAGUUUCCAUUAAGAAGCACAAAUUAAUCUUAUAUUGAUGGCUCAAUUUGUAACAUGUUAGAAAGUAAGAGGCUGACCCAGACCUCUUACAUUCCAUGUGAACCUAAUCAUGGUUCUUUAGUAGGCAAUGUCAAUUAAAUGUUAUCCACUUUGACUAAAGAUGGUGUCUAUUGUUGAUAGUUGUAAUUAUCAUCUUCAACACACAUUCCAACUGUUAAGGGAACUCCCCGAUUAGUGAGGACAUUUUGAUGUAUAGCCCCAACAUUUUCAUCAGUAUUAAUAUUAAUAUGCCUACGCAACGUAGCUCGAGAGUCCGCCUCUUGGUUCCUUAAUUCUUACUCUCUUUUACUUUUGACACUAGUGGAGUCGUCGGAAUCUCCGUAGACUUGAUUCACAAGAGUAUGAUAACAUUGAUUACUGAUCAGGCUUCUAGCAUUCUGCUCUUCAAAAUCGAGUUUAGUAUUACUUUUCAAAAGUAUUUUUAGGAAAAAAAAAUACUUUAGUCAUUGAGCUUGGGUGAUCAACCAAUUUCCAAACUUGAAAUAGAAAAUCUAUAUCACGUGGGUUAUUAUUUUAAUUUUUAUCUUAAUAAUAAUAUUUUAUUUCACUCACAUGUGCAUAAAAAUUUGGUUUUAUAAAAUACAUGUGUACAAAUAAUUUUAUCUUUUAAAUAUAUUUUAAAAAUAAUAUUAGUACAAAUAUAUCUAAAAAUAAAAUCUAAAGUUCUCCGAAUCAAAGGACAAAUUGAAUAUAUUGGACGGUUCAACCAUUUUUAAAAUUAAAAAGAAUAAACCAAUAACAAUUAUUUUUUAGAAAAAUUUAAAAUAUUAAAAUUAUAAAAAAAUGAAAAAUGAUAUUUACAAUAAGUUAAGAAUAAAAAUAAAGGGAUAAAUCUCAAAAUUAUACAUGAAUUUUGAUUUAAUGUGUGAUUUGAUAUAUAAAUUUUAAUUUGGUACAAUUAUACACAUGAAAUUUUGAUUUGUGGUUCAAAUGUAUACAAGAAACUUUAAUUUUAAUUCAAUUAUACACAUUUAAAGAAAUAAAUACAUCUAUUUAUUUUUAUAUUAGAUAAAUAUAAUUAUACGGGUAUGUAAUAUAUAAAUAUAAAAUAAUGCUAUAUUAAUAAUUGUGUCAAUAUUUUGUAAAAUUUGGAUUAAAUCAAAAUUUCAUGUAUAAAUUUACACAAAAUCAAAGUUUAUGUAUAAAAUUACACAUCAAACCAGAAUUUAUGUAUAAUUUUAAGAUAUAUCCCUAUAAAUAAAUCACAAAAUAACAAAAAUAUCCAAUUUUUUGUUAGAAAAUAUAAUAAAAAAUCAAAUUAGUUUGUUUCUGUUUCUUUUUCUAAUUUUUCAAUUUCUAAUUUUUUUUAUUGGUUGAAAAUGCUUGACUAUUUUUAAUUAUAUGUUAUUUGAUUGAAGCAAUAGGACCAUAAAUUUAUGAUUAUACCAAUUGAAUCCCUCAAUGCGAUUCUAACACUAAAAUCAAUUUUCAAACUCGAAGAAAUCAAAUCGAGGAGCCUGACAAAACACACUAUUAUUUGAAAAAGGCACUGCAUAAAUGCAUUAAUCCCUUAGAUUUCAGUAUUGGAUUUUGGCUAACAUGCAUUUAAUAUGAGAAUUUAAUUUUAAGAUUGCUUCACUCCAUUCUUCUUUUUUUCCAACAAUAAAACUUCAUUUAAAAGAAAAAAAAGACUUCAUUCUUGACUCUCAGCAACCUACGCAAUUCACAUAUAUGUAUUAUGUUUCAUAAUCUUUUAUCAAUCAUAUAAACAUAAAUAUAACAAAAACUAUUUAAGACAUCAAAAUCCUAAAAGCAAACACAAAACAUGUUAAUUGUGUUUCAACAUAUCAUGUUUAGAACUGCUCUUCUCCGGGAACGUUCGAAUGAAGAGUGUGUUAAUAUAUGCGAGCCGACAAUAACGUUGGCCAGUGGCAAAUUGAAAAUAUGUUUGACAAUUGACAGAAGCAACUCCAAAAUAAUGUAUUUUCAGCUGACAAAAAUUGAAUAUAAAAAAUUUUAUGUUACAAAUGCCGAGACAUUAAACAAAAAGAAAAAUGAGAAACUGAAUUUGGGACUCCUGGAAAAAACGGUCUAUUAAAUCAAACUGACUCUGCUUGGCAUUAAAUAAAAAGAAUCUUGCCAUUGCAAUGGUAAUGGAGUUGAACACAACUCAGUUAAGCUGUAUCUGUCUUUGAAUCCGACAAUGCUAGUAAAAUACGUAAUUGAGCCAUGCCCUCAUUAUUUUGUGGUUUCAACAAAGAUUAUUGAUAAAGUAAUUCAGUUUAUUGGAAAAGUCGAAACAACUUACCUUCAACUAUGAACCCAUAAGGGCUCUAAAGAGAAAGGCUUCUCAGUACGUGUGAGGGUGGAUGAAGUUCCAGAUGGAGGCGCAUGCACAGUUAUAGGAAGAACCCACUCACUUUUGUCUCUACCUUCUACUAAAAGAGGAUGCUCGUAUCUGAAUUCAAAAUCAAGAAGUGGUUGCACAGCUUAAUAUUAUAUCUGGUAACACCUAAAGCAGGAAUUUUCUAUUAAUUUCAAUAGAACUAUGAACAGAGUUUUACCUAUUUUAACCCAUUUUAAUUUUGAAGUCCAAGUCUAACCUCUCUUGUACGACAUUACAAUUUUAGGUAACAAUUUUUGUCAAAGCUACAGUAGCAAUGGAAGCCAACUUACAGGUCAUACUAAAUGCAUUUCCAGAAGUUUUUUUAUUUUUAUUUUUAAAUCUUCGAUUAUUGCUUCUUUUCUGCUAAUACCAUGUCAAAGUAUUCUAAAAAGGUAUGAAAAAUGUUCUACCAUAGAAAAUAUGUAUUGAUGGUAUAUGCAUAUAGCCGACAAGCAUACAAUUGAUUGACAAUCUUCAAUGCCAAGUAAACCAUUACUAAGAUUCUCUUUUGAAAAGCUAGAAUGAUUUGAUUGCAAUCAGUGUCGCAUGGUCAUACCUUGUCCAGUCUAAGUUCUUUGGAGUAGUGAAAAAUUCAAAUCUUAGAGCCCAUUCAACCGAGAUGUGAGGAGUGGAAAAGGACAUGGGGCCAUCCAUUGGAAUAGAGAAAAGAAAACUUGUCUGUACUAAAUCAGCAACAACCUCAUGAUGAUCACUCUGAACCUACAAGAGAAAUCAAUAAAAAAGAUUACAAUAGCAUCUAAAGAAAAUGAGUUUCUUAUCUUGAUUUCCAAAGGAUAAAAUGGUUCCAAAAAGUAAAACCUUCUAAGCUAAAUAUUGAUGGUGUAUUAUGCUAGUACCUAGGCAAAUGUGGUCAGACGGUAAAAGCAAUGCUCAUUCUCAGGAAUGGAAUGAUGGCCAACAUUAUAAGGAAUAUAACAUAUUUUGAAGAAUAAAUUGAUUUUAAGAUUCUUUUUCUUUUCUUUUUUUCUUUUUUUUUGGGGGGGGGGGGGUAUAACUAAACCACUUCAAGAUUCAAUUACUUUUUCAUGCCUAAAUUCAUUUUAGUUCCUUUCUUCUAUAAAGGAACGUUUUCAUUAAAAUCAUAGAAAUAGGUUUAGGACUUUUGGAGUACACAGUAGUAAGCACUAGAAGGAAAGAGAAAGCUCUUUGGAAUUGGGAUAAUGAACACUAUCUGUAAAAAAACUAUAAAGGAACUGGAUUCUAGCAACCCAAAACUUCUUAAAAAACAUGCAGCAAUUUUUCAAGGUGUCACUUUCCAAGCAUAUAAUGUAGGUCAUUAACAUGUGCAUGUAGCUAGAUAAAGUGAAAGCUCAAAACAGACAUAUAAAUAAAUAACACUGUAAUUCAUUAAUGAACUGUAGAUUAGAAAAUUUUGGAUAGGAAAACCUUUGUAAUUGUUGGGGAAUUCCUUCUAGAAGGAUGAACAAAACGCCGAUUUAUGGUUUCAGAAGUUUCCAGUGUCACUGAAACCUAAAAAUAGCAGUUCUUCUAGUUAACCUCAAGAUGCAUCAUUCAAUAGUUCAUAGUUUCUUCAGUUAUCUAGUAGUUUCUCAAUUUGAUCAUUACCUCAAGGCAUCUUCUAGCUCCUUCUUCAUGAAAGAAAGUAAGAGUACCACCUAUCUGUUAAUCGAAUAGGUAAAAGGAAUACAAUAAGAGAAGAAGCAACAAACAUGAUUUAAGCAAGGAGACAGAAGCUACCAGUUUAACUGAUUUUACCAUAUCACUAAAGUAAUACGUGGACUCAGAGUUUUUGGGGGAAAAUCUUAGCAAAACAUGUUCAUCCAUCCUGAUAUUAUAGGACCUUCCUCGAAUAAAGCCCUCUGCUGCAGAAAAUGCUAAAAAUUAAGUUUACCAAGAUUCACAUAUUAAACAGAUGAAGACAAGAUUUAUGAUGCAUGAGAAACAAACAAAACAUAAAAAAUGUCAGAAAGUCUGAUACUUUACAGGCUACAGAUUCAGUAGGUGCAGAAGAUACUCCUGUUACAUCCGGAUAUAGAGUUCUUGCAGGAGCCUGCUGCUGACUUUGAGAUAAAACAGCCAAUGAUUUGUCUGUUGGAAAAUAUUUCGGAGGGCAUGAUAAGGAUCAGAAAGAAAACCUAUUAUCUCGAAUCAAACCAAUGGUAUUGCCUCAGCAUGUGUGCUGAAAAUCUUACAAGUAAUCACAACAAUUGAACCGAACACAUAAGUAUGUCUAUAUGAUGACAGGAAGGAAAGACAAGUUUAGUGUAAAGUGCAAAUAGUGUCUGUACAUAAACAAGUAUAACUUCUUGCAAAUUGCAUAAUCAAGUAUAAUUUAAUUACCAGUGUUAGAAUCAUGCAUGACCUCAGCCACUGAUAAUCGAUGAAGUCCGACAUUUGAAGGCAAACUCGAAUAGUCCAUAUCAUGAUAUGGACCAUCUCUAUUUGAAGACCUGGCUGUUGUUGAUUCAAAGGAUAAGGAACUUCUAAAGCUUUUAAUCAAAUUUUCCUUCAAAGGGUUAUAUGAUGAAACAGAUGAUAUUUCAUCUCUUGAGCUCUCAUACCCUUCCUCGACACCAUCAUUCGUGUCACUCACCCUAGCCUGUAACUAAUAUCAAUUUACUGAGAAAUCAUUCAACUCAAACAAUAAGCCAAAAGCAUUAUCAACAUUAAUAACGGCCUUACCCAUUCCGAGUCUCCAUCUAUCUCUUUCCAAUACAUAUCUGUUUGGAUGGUAGUGGAAGGAACAAUAUCUAAAACAUCAAAAGGAAACAUAGUUAUCAAACUUAAGUUAUUGUCAAAUCAGAUUGAACUUAUUGAAUUUCUUUAUAUUACAAGCAAUGACUAAUGUUUACAAUACUAGAGUUAGCUCUAUGAGAGAGAAAAGAGAAAACGUCACUGGAAACAAAAUCUAGCAAUGAUUGGAACAUAUCUACCUUUGCUUAAGAUUUAAAUUCUUACAUCCUUCCUGCUUUAUUGUUAGAGUAAUUACAUUUGCAUCCUAAAACUUCAUUAAAAUUCUUGACUAGAAGCAUAUACUCAUCACGUCAAAACUGAAAAUUACUGCUUAUCAAUAAUUUCACCAAAUUUAAUAAAUUAAAAUAGAGGAAGAGAGAUCGUAAAGUUGAAACUUGAAAUGUUAACAACUUACCAUCACUUUGGCCAUCUUCCAUUACCAAACCAUUUCCCUUCUCAGUUACCCAUACUUGAAAAGGAACACGAGCCUCCUGUUGGAAGGCAAAGUUCAUAAAAAUCAAUGAUAUAUCAUAACUCUUCCACAUAAUACAUAGUUCAAAGAAUCAGACUAGGAUGAUGACUAGUCCUCACCAAGAUACAGUUGCGCAUGAGGACAAAUGCAAAAAAAGAAACACAUGCAUGGAUAUGCCAAAAUUCCCCAAUGUGUUUAACUAUAAAUUUACGUACUCUAGCUUUCAAAAAACAUAAAUUUAUGUACUAAAAAAGGAGCCAAUAAGAGAGGACAAAGUGAAUUAUCGCCAAUAUUAAAUACAAUUGCACAAAUGAAGUAAACAAAAUGGUUAACGGGCACUCAAAUGCAAAUGACAAAAUCUUUGACAUUUAAGGAUUUUCAAAACUUCAGCCUUAUAUUCAUAAACAGAAACCUUGCACCAGUAUCAAAAUACAAAUUUAUGAAAGUGAAAAAUAGCGAUAAACCUCCAUUGCUCCUCACAUAUGAAACAACAAAUAAACUUAUGAUUAUCAGACUCUUUUGUUCUUUUGACUUUUCCCUAUUACAGCGGGGCAAGUCUUUAGCAGACUCUCUGAACCCUAGGUCAGAAGUAGCUUUGUUACCAGAAAGUUCAACAAGAUUCCUAUUUCAAGAGCACUAUCAUCAAGUCAAACAUGUCUAAUUGUAAAAGAUAACAGAAGAAAAUUUUGGGAUCGAUCACAAAAAUUAUGAAUAUAAGUAAAACCAACCACUUUGGUAAGAUCUUUUACGGACUCCUUGCUGGAGUGACCAUUUUCCAUUAGCAGCCAUGGAACAGACAUGGUACUCUUUAUAUAAUAUAAAUAACGAAUGGUAGUACCCUUGUAAGAUGGUGGUAUAACGCUAGGAAGCAUAGCUCGUACCACAUCUACAAAUAAGAGUAAAAAGUAAGAUACAAAAAGAAAACCUGUUGAAUGAAAAAUAUAAUGAAAUAAUAACAAGGUAAAUAAUUGUGACAAAUAACCAUAGCAAGCAGUAACAAGAUACUGUAUACUAAAAACCAUUAAAAAUUCAUUUAAAAAAACUGCAUGACUAGGUGCCUAUGGUAAUUCAACUAGAAAUGGAGACAUUUACAAAUAAUGCAAUAUAGCUUUCAUCUUUGAAAUCACCUUUUUGCAUAUUUAGCCCUUUUUGCAGAUAAGAGACUCAACAUUUGUUCUUUCUUCCUUCUAUUGUUUUUCUUAUGACAAAAUCCAUCUUUCUAGCUACAAUUUUUCUUUCUAAAAAGUCAAUGAACUGAAUGAAUUAUAAUUCUAUACUAAUUUUUAAGCAACUUAGUAUCAUGCAGUUUUCAUCAAGAAAAGAACUAGGAGUUUGACAAAAACAGGAUUGCAUUUGCUCAUCACUACAACGUCAGUAUAUUCAUUUUGCUUGAGAAAGAAAUACUCACCAAUAGCAUUGAUUACAUUUUAUGAUGGAUAAAUAGAUUUCGAAAGAAAAAAAAAGAACAAGUUUUACACACUUGCACUUAUAUAUAUGUACCAUAAAACAUUAACAGUAUAUAGACUAACAAUUUUUUGAAGAGCCAGAAUUCACAAUCUGAUUUGAAACCAUUGAUGGUGUUGAAGAAUCCAAAAAAACAUGUUCACCUGAAAAAAAAGGAUUGAGAACAAUAAUAUAAACAUAAAAUGCACAAAUAAUAAUAAUAAUAAUAAUAAUAAUAAUAAAAGGAAAGAAAGAAAGAAAGAAAGAGUACAUGAUCUUUUUCUUUCCUUUUGGUAUCAGUUUCAGUUCUAUUCACCUCCCAAGGUUAAAAACAAGGCCGAUUGCUAAUGCAAUUUAUCUAAAUUUGAAAUGACGUUGAAGACUAAUGGCCAAAAAUUAAAAGAUUACAUGAUACUAAAAUGUAAGAAGAAACUGAAAAAUGUUGGCAAAUAGCAGUUUAGACACACUCCUUUACAUUGAUCUGACUUCAUUCUCCUAGAGAAAAAAGUAUAAAGCAAAAGAAUUUCGAAUUCAAUCUAUUAAUAUAAACUCUAAAUAAGUGAGCAAUGAAUACAAUUUUAAUCCAACCUCUCCCAUGUUUCAUUCCGGUCGAUGGUUUUUGGAUGGCAAACCAUUGGGUAUCCAAUUUCUCAAUCCCUUUAAUUUCGAAGCCAAGCCUUUCAACCCAAAGUGAAGGCACAGUACUACUAGUCUUGUCACCAAUUAGGGGAUUGCAGAUCUCAAUUGUGACAUAGAUAGAAUCUCCAGGUCUAUAAACAUCUCGAUCAGUUUGCAGUUUUAGUUUUGGGUUCAAUUGACUUAUAUCUCCAUCCUCGGUACCAACCUUACUAUAUCCCCCAUCUCCAAAGAAAGAAAACCUAUAUGGCAACAUUGCCUCUAAACAAAUUUCAUGAAAUUCAUCAACAAUGAAAUCAACCUGCAAAAUGUAUAGCAAAUGUAAAAUUAAAGAUUGCUUUAUGGAGCACAUGAACUGCAUUCCAAAUAGAAGGAAUAAUUGGAGACCUAAAAUAAGCUACUUGUUUGGUUGUCGUACAAAUUUUAAGAAAGACAAAUGGGUUGGCUUUCCAAUCCAUUUUUCCUUAGGAACCAAAUGGAAAUCAAAAUGCUCCUUCAGAGUUAAAUGAUCCAAAAUAUUAAAAGAAAAAUAGGAUUGAUAAACAUAAAGAUUCGAUAAUAAAUUAAGUUUAUGUCACCUUAAAACUGAGAUCACGAGGAAAGGAAAUUGAAUGUGUUUAAAUAACAAAGGGUCAAAAUGUAUGUGAAACAAUUAAAAGGAAAGGAAAGGAAAGGAAAUGGCAAUAUGGAGGAACUCCAGGUUUAAGCUCCAAUCGCCCAGAUUUGAAAUCCUGGUUUGGUUAGUUAAACUUUUUUUUUUCCUUUUAAAUCUGCUUGACUGACCUGACUACUUAACAGACGCCACAGCCCCGCGCGCAGAACUCACGGUAUAACGCGCAAUGAUGAGAUGGGUAGGCCGGGUUGACUUUACCAUAUCUCGUUACCCAAAUUCUUUAAGUGCAACUAAAAGUGUUCAUAGGUCGAGUUCAGCUAUCUAAAUCAAUUUUUUAAGUUUAGAAUCGGCCUGGCCAUAAAAAUGACCUUAUUUUUUUUGCUCAAGCUUGGUUCAAUUUAAGAAAGAUAAGUCCAGGCCUGACUCGGCUGGUCCAUAUUUUAUUAUUUUAGAUUAAUUUUUAUUUAAAAUUAAGAAAUUUAAAAAACAACAAACCAAAUGCAUUAAAAUCUCUAAAAUAAAAGUUUUCUAACACAUUAAAAAAUAUUUAUAUUAAAAAAAUAAUCAUAAAUAUAAUAAAUGUUUUAUUAUAUUAAAAAAUAAAAUAAAAUAAAAUAAAUAUUUUAUUGUAUUAAAUAUAAUAUUUAAAAUUUUAUAUUUUGGGUUGGGUUAUUUGAGUUAAUUAAGCAAAUAUGACGAUUUUGAAACGUAUUAAGAGUUUUAGGAUGUGUUUCCUAAAAUUUAGGAAAACAGACUGCUUUUGUAGAGAGAAUAAAAACACACUUCCAACUAGAAGCGUUUUCGUCCAACAGUAAGUCAACAAUCAUUUUCCCAACAGUUAAAAAAUCCAACUAUUAAAAGAAUAUGAACAUUGUUCUGGGCAACUGAUUAAUUUUGCGAAAUCCCUAAUCAGUGUUAGUGUUUAUGUGCACCCUGAGUUGCGAGUUGCUAUGGAAGGCACUUUGGGCGUGCGCGGUACUGCAAACCCUGGGAAAUAUCUGGGACUUCCGGUGAUUGUUGGAAGAAACAAAAGCAGGCUUUUCGAUCUAUUAAGGACUGGGUUUUGGAUCAUAUUGGGAGUUAGCUUAAUAGGUGUCUUUCGUAGGGUGGUAAGGCUAUCUUUAUUAAAUCUAUCCUACAAGCUAUCCCAAUUUACCCUAUGUCUUGUUUUUUUUUUUUUUUCAGACUUCUUUUUAUAAAGAGCUUGAGGCCUUGCUUUGUCGCUAUUGGUGGGGUGAGGCUAACUUACGGAAGGGAUUCAUUGGUGUUCCUUAGAGGGUUCGUGCGAUCUUAAGGAAGUUGGCGGAUUGGGAUUUCGAAGUUUGUCAAAACUUAAUAUUGCUUUGCUUGCUAAACAAGAUUGGCGUUUGUUGAAUAGCUCAGAUUCUUUAGUUGCUCGCGUGCUUAAAGCUAAAUACUACUCAACUACUAAUUUUAUGGGGUCAGAGUUAGGGAAUCAACCUUCUUUCAUGUGGCACAUUAUUUGGGCAGCUAAGGGACUACUGCAAAUGGGCUGUGGAUGGCAAGUGGGGAAUCGCUCUUCCGUUUCCAUUUGGGAUGAUGCAUGGCUCCCGGGUGAGAAACCCUACAAAAUUCAAUCUAUGAGGAUUAAUGGAUUUGAGAAGGUUGUUGAUUUAAUUGAUGUUAACAGUGGCAGUUGGAAUCAGGAAUUGCUAAGAGGGUUAUUCUCUGACUAGGAUAUGCGGAAGGUGUUGUCUAUUCCUUUGGCCUUUCACACAUUGGAAGAUUAGUGGAGAUGGUGCCUUGUAGAUGAUGGAAAUUACACAGUUUGGAGUGGGUAUCAACUUCUACUCCGAGGCUUCCCCAACUCGGAUGAUGACAGGUACAAUCAUAUGGGGCAAACUAUUAGGCGAUGUUACAGACAACUUUGGGCUGCGGGUUUUUUACAUAAAUAAUACAAAAAAAUUAAAAUAAUACUAAAACAAUACAACCAUUUUAUUAUGUACCAAAAUAGUACAAACAAUAAAAAAAACCUGACGGAAGUGACAGGACUAUAGUCGAGGGUCUGCCAUAGGCGGCACCAAAGGUGCCAGUGGCAGAGGCGACACCAAAGGUGCCACUACCACAGGCGACACCUGUGCCAUGUUUUCCCGCCUUUUGGGGACCUUAUAAUGGUCCCCAAUUUCACUUUCACUUCAGCUGCACAAAGGAGAAGAAAGAAAAGGAAAUGAGAAGAAGAAGAAGAAGGAAGAGGAGAAGGAGAGGGCGGUGCCGAAAAAAGAAAAGAAAAAGAGAGAAAGAGAAUAGAGAAAGGAAGAGAAGAAAAAAAUAGAAAAAAUAAGGUAUUAUUAUGUUUUUUUAAAAAUGGAUUAUCUUAUUAUUAUGUUUUUUUUAUUUUUUUUUAUUAUUUUUUGUUGUUAGUUUAGUUAUUAUUGUUAGUUAUUAGGAUUAAUAAAAAUCCUAAUUAUUAUUUUAGUUAGUAUUAUUAUUGUUAGUUUUUAGGGUUUAGUUAUUAAUAAUUAUUGUUACUUAGUAUUAUUGUUAGUAAAAAACUAAUAUUAUUAUUCUGGUUAGUUAUUAGGAUUAGUAAAAACCCUAAUUA